CCGUCGUUGCUGUUGAAAAACAUACCAAGAAACAUAUAUUUGGGACCAAAAUCAGUCUCUACACAGACUCGAGACGAUGGAGAAAGCAAAAACGGGACACACGAGUAGAAUGUCAUUCCUUGUAUGGGUGAGAUUAGGGACAUAAGGCAAGUUGAGCCCGAAUUAGAGACACUAGCAUCAUACACCGGAUGUAUCUUUGGCCGUCAAACUAGUUAUCGAAGAGGUGGAAAAAUUCACCAGCUUACAAGUCUAAACACAACCAGGCCACAUAGCCCCCAAGGAUGCCAAAAGACUCACGGAAAAAACCUGUCCCUUAAGAACCACGAACAGCCUUCAGUCCAUUAUUAGCAGCACGUUAUUAAGGAAAGAAACCGCACACGCCGCACAAUCGAAUCAAAGCAAAUAUGGCAAGUUCUUCACGCCCCCAACAUCAUUUGGUUGGGAAAUCACAUGCCCCGAUAUCAGAUCAAAUUGUUUAUCAACAGAUUCAACCACCUUUCCUUAUGCCCAAGAGCUGCAAAAUCCAAAGAUUGAAAACAUGAGCAGUCGACUUGAAGGGAUCCACAGAACAUGCAAGUUUAUCGAUAAGCAUACUCGAUUUCACGAAGGAACUCAUGAUAAAACUUCCCAGAACUUCACUUAUCAGAUUUUACACGACGUCCUAUGUGUAGGUAAAGAAAGAAAAUUCAUCUUCAGAGAAUAGUAGCUCCACCACGGUCACACAGCACACGGCAUUCGGCACUACAAGGUCAAUUUUUUCCCCCACAAAAUGGCUGACAUUAGAAACUCAGAGCACUGCAAUCCCAAACUUUCACCACAAGAAGAUUGAAUUGUAAAGCAAAGUUCUACAAGCUAGGCAACUAGGUCCCUCUGCUGUUAAGUAUUGACUAACACUUGACUUGGCUGAAGAGCAUGGCCAAAGGAUGGAUUAGAAAGAAAAACACAUUCCCCGAAGCGAGUCCACAAGGAGAAGAGCUUCUCACAAGAUCACAAAUUGGGGGAGCUCACUCGUCCAUAUCCUCUUCUCUGUCGGCUUCGGCCCCUUCAUCCUCCCUCCUGAGCUGACCGCAUACAUUACACUCCAUUAUAUCAGAAGGAGCAUCAUCCCACGGAGGCAGAGGAGCCAUUGUCCCGCCGCAGUUUUUCCUGUUGCACAUAUACCUGACGAAGAGAUACGCGUAGGGGAAGUCAGUCUCUUUCUCCUCUGCAAUACCCACCUCCGACCCACUCAUUUGUUCAUCGGCAUCCUCAUCCAUCCCUUCACUGUCACCAUCAUCAUCUUUGCCGAUAUCAUCGUGCUCGUUCUCAUCAUCGGACUAAUUGGCCUCGACCUUGCACCGAUCACAGUCGCAGGCGAACCCGUAGUCUUCCAUCAACCUCCUCUGCCUAUUCGCAUAAUUCAAGUUGACAGGAAAAUAACUCAGGCAGAUCUCCCUCCCUUGAGGGACAUCAUGGAUCAUCCGCACGAUUAUAUCACUAUUGCCAUCAGAAGCAGAGUCUACAUAGUCAAAUCUGCAAGCAUUUGGCAGGCAAUCGUGGUUGAAGAAAGAAGCUCUUGGAUAAAUACCGUAAGCUCUCACCGAUCUCUCCCCAUCCACCUCGCCCCCACCCCGCGACAAAACCGGCUCCAUCAAACCGAAAGCAUUGAGCUUGUCCUUCGACAGCAAGGCGACGAUCAAUUCAAGAGAAAACCCCAGAGGAAAAGGCGAACCCGGAGGAGGGGGAGGACAAACCGAGGCGAGCAGCGAAUGCAGGAACCGCGCGGCCGAGACGGUGUCGUCGGCGUGCGCCUCGCGGCCCUGGAGAGAGAGCAGUAGCUGAAAAUUGGAGGGAGAGACGGUGGCUAGAUUGCAAGCGGCGAUCAGGAACCGAGCCUGGACGUGGCGCUCGACAGGCUGGCCGUCGAGCAGGCGGGAAGCGACCAGGCGGGAGAGCGUCUGGCAGACCCAGGGGGUGUGCGACGUCGCGGCGGCGGCGGCGAGGCAGCCGGGGCCGCAGAACGCGUGGCGGCCGCACGCAGGGCACGGGGCCCCUGGCGGCGAGGAGGACGGAGGCAAGAUUCUGAAGCAGUGGUCGCAGUAACAAGCAGCUGAAGAAGAAGAAGAAGAGGAAGAAGGAGGUGGUGGUUUGGUGAGGGGAAGAGCAGAGUAGAGAAGAAUAGGAGAGUCCCUGAGGACGAUUUGGCCGCCGCGCAGCGGCCGCGCCGCCACCAGGGCCAGCCCUCUGCCGUCGAUCUCGGCGAGGUUCAGCAGCGAAGCUGCUCCGUCCGCCAUUUCCAGAGCUUUGUUUGAGCAAGCUUUAGGGUUUCUUUCCGGGUCAAGUGCCCGCGAAAUUCUUUUUUAUUUCCUUCGCCAGCCCAGGAAAAAUGGGAAAUCACAAUAGUGAACUUCUGCCUGGGGUCCCUCGCGGCUCCCGGGUCUCGCUUAACAUGAAUUUGACUAAGCCUAGGCGCCGAAAUGGAAAUUGAACUGAAUCACUUUUCUUUUUUUCAAAAGAAAGUUUCAUUCAUUUGUCAUAAUCAUAGGAACAUAGAAAAGUUCCAAGUUCCAAGCAAAGCAACUCACAAAAGAGCCGCAAGACAAAACGAAACAAAACCCAUAAAACAAAAUAAUACGGCUUAUAGUUAGCUCUCGUCCCAAAAGACUCGAUCUAUUACAGUAUUAAAAAUCAAUUGGCAGUCAAUCACCAAAAUCAUCAGUAAUGGGCAUCCGACAAGAUCUUCCCAUCCAGAAACUGGCAUGGCAUCCUCAACACUAUUGCUAUACUAAAACAACAACAAUAAUAUUUUGAAUCAUCACAAAUCUAACACUUCUAAGAAACUUCUAGAUGUAGAUUAGAACAAGAAAUAAAAGCUCUCAUAUUCAAAUUUACACCUAAAACAAGAGAGAAUAGAUUACACCAAAUCCAAAAAUCAUAAAACCAUGUCCUCAGCAUCCUAUUAGCUAGAUUUGUGACAAUUUUCUCACAAAUUUUUCAAUUACAAGUAGAUUUUUUUCUAUCAGUAACUAUAAGUAGGGGUGUAAGUGAUUUAGUUCAAUUCGGUUUUUUUUUAAACAAAUCGAAAAAAAUCGAACCAAAAGGAAAUUUAUUGAACCAAACCGAAAUCCAAUCAGAACCGAACUGAAAGCCUAGUUCGAUUCGAUUCAGUUUGGUUUGGUUUUCAAUUUUUACUUUUAUUUUUGUUUUUUUCCUACAUGCACCCCCUUCAAUAAAUUUUUUAUUCUUUAAAAAAAAUCGAUUUUUAAAUUAUUUUUAUUCUUUUAUUUUUUCUUCAUUUUCUUUCGUUUUCUUCUUCUUCUUUUUCAUUGGCCAAUCGCCGACUACAUCAUUGAUUGGCAACUAGCCAGCUGGUGAGCUCGAGCCUUGCUAGCUUGUGGCAAGGCUCGAGCCCUGCCUAAGUGGCCAAAUCUGACAAGGCUCGAGCUCGCCAAUGUCAAAUAAGUUUGGCCUCGUCUAAUCAAGCAAGGUGGAGCUGUUGUCCUCAAGCCUUGCCAGCCUGUGGCGAGGCUCUAAUCACCUCUGGCUAGUUGUAAAAAAAAUUAAAAAAUGAAUAAGAAGAUCGCCCAAUGAUGAAUAAGAAGGAAAAAAAAUUAAAAAAAAUGAUUUUUUAACAAAAUAAAAGGAAAAAAUUUUAGAUUUUAUUUGUUUGGUUUGGUUAACCAAACUGAUAAAAACCGAACUGGUUAAAAAAAAUCGACUUUUAAUGAGAAUCAAAUCAAAAAAAAAAAAAUGAACUUUUUUGGUUCCAUUUUUGACACCCCUAGCUCUAAGCAGAUUUAUUCACGACAGUGAGAGAAAAGAGAGCCGUAUUAGACCAAGAGAAAGAAAAAAAGAAAAGAAAAUCGAGGCCCAGAAAAGAAAAGUAUAUCAAAGCAGGCUAAAGUUUAGAGUCUGUAGGUGAAAUUUUUUAAGAGGAAGGAUUUUUUUUGGGGAGAUAGAAAAUUGCCGAGAGAAAGAGAUUGGGGUUGCGUCUAUCUUGUUUGAAUCAUAUAGAGCAUUUCUUUCGUGGAAAGUAAAUGCUAUGGAAUAAAUUUUCCAAAAAAUUAAUCAUUGUAUUGCUUACAAAAAUGAAAGAAUGAAAAAAAAAUCAUCAUUUACAAAAAUAAUUAUAUAUAAAUUAUUUUUAUCAACUGAUUAUUUUAAGCUUUGACAAAAAUAAAAUAAUUAUUUCAAGUGUGAUAAUUUUUUUAACAAUGUUUUUCAAAUAAUUUAUUUUUCGCAAAAAUAAUGUAGUCUAAGUUAGUUCAAUUUGAAACAAAUAGAUUAUCGUCAAAGGAGAGGUAAAUCUUAUUGAAUUAAUUUCAUUGAUUAAUCGUAUGCUUGUCAAAUUUCAAAUUAGAUAUGUGACACCGCAAGUAGAAGCAUCCAUAUGAAUUAUCUCAAAUAGGUGAGAUAUCACUUUCGAUGUUUGAAUUCAUAGAUCCUUUUCAUUCGCAUUAUUAAACUUCUAGUCUGUCUAUUCAAAAUAUCGACUUGGCCUGACUUUUCUAAUCAAGUACAUUAAAUCUAGGGAAAAUCUCAAAUAAGGACCCAGAGUGAGCCUACUUUCUCAAAUAUAGAUCCGAAAUAACCAUUGUUCCAAAUAAGGACCUAAAGUGGCUAACAAGUCUCAAAUAAGGACCUGAACCCACCAACCGGCCAAAAUGUUCAUUGGCUGGUGAGCGUGUGACAUUUCCAGUGGCUGAAAUAUGAGCAAUUUUGUCCCAAAAAAUUAUAGAUAGAAAUUAACAAACCCUAAAAACAAAACCCCCAAACUCUUCACGUUCUUCUUCUUCCGCUCUUCAUCUUUUACGUUAUUUGUCCCCUCAUUUGGAGAACCCAAAUUCUCCGUUGAUGGAGCAAGAUCCCUGUCUCCCUAAGUUCCAAAUGUACAUGCCCUCCCUCUCUCUCUUUCAAUUUGAACGAAAUUGACCUCGGUUGAACGAGAGUGUGAAUGAAAGUGUACGGCAAACCUAGGAAAAGAUAAUGAAGAAUCGAGGCCCUCGUGUUACACACAAGUGUCUCAAUAACGAAAAGGUGGCUUUACUCAAGAUUUGUCUUCUCCAUUGGAAAGAAACGAAGACAGAAAACAAAAGAAGAAGAUGUGAAGAAACGAAGGUAGGGUUUCUUGUUGUGUUUCAAUUCGUGUUCCAUUAACAGAAAAUUUCCGUGCUCCAAGCGAGAGAGGACAAAGAACAGAGAAGAUGAAGAGCAGAAGAAGAAAAAUGUGAGAACAUGAAGAGUUUUUCUUUUUAGGUCAAAAGAACAUGAAGAGAUUGGGGGUGGUUUUUAGGGUUUGUUAAUUUCUAUUUCUAUUUUUUUUUUGGCACCAAAAAUGUCACAGUCUCGCCAGUCGGUGAACAUUUUGGCCGGCCGGCAAGUUCAGGUCCUUAUUUGAGACAAUAGCCACUUUUGGUCAUUAUUUGAGACAAUGGCCACUUCGGGUCCUUAUUUGAGAAAAUAGACUUACUUUGGGUUCUUAUUUGAGAUUUUCCCUUUAAAUCUAAUUACUUGAAAUUAGUGUGUUAUACAGAAUUAGAGGUUGACAAGAAUAAACUGUUUGGAACCAUUUAUUAUUUGCUAAUAAUCUUAAAAAUGAAGGUCGCAAUUGGAUCUCGAGUGACGAGAAAUCUCAACAUGAACACUUUCACUUGAGCUUUUAACUUGAAAACUCUCGUAAACUUACGAUAGACGCAAUUAGUCAAAUUACAAGUUUAGAGAAUUGAUUAAAGAAGAAAAUUCAAAGAUUCGAUUCGAAAACACAAAUGGCCAAGCUAAAAGAUUCAACGUUAUCAUUCUAAUAUCAUUUAUGCAUUACACUCUACUACGACGCAAAGUUCAUAGUUCCACGAGUCAAAAGUUUAAUUUUCAAACGAAACCAAAUCACGAAGCUUAUAAUAUAAAGUCCCCGGGCUCUAUGAAAUACUCGAUACGUUAGAAGUCAGUAAUGCUCUUGAUAUAAAGCUUUUGACUGUUCAAAAGAUUUCGCAAACGAGCACUUGUUAAAUAAUAAAAUUCCGGAAACUUUAGAGUUUCAAAUACAUGGGUUUUGCUCGUGUAAUAUGCAGAAUAAAGGAAUAAGAAAUUUCGCAUAUAUUGAUGUGUGUAAUGAAGAGCACAUCUGCAUAUUUACAGGCUUUAUUAAAUUACUAUCUAAGAUAAUAAAUUAAUCAAGAUAUACGCAUGGUCAAAGAAAAACUUGCUAAUAAAUAUCUAAUUAUUUCAUGCACCAAUCUAACUGAUGGGAUCGAGAUUACUAACAACAUAUGAAGGUUGGGAAUAGAAAUGGUUUUACUUUCUUCAAUACUAGAAAUGGUUUCAUCAGCAGCACUUUUGAGCCCAUUAAUUCAUAAUAGCCAAUAGUAAAUGUAGACUUCCUGAAGAGAAACCCCAAUAAAGCAAACUUAAAUUUUGGUAUGUGAAGACAAAAGAAUUAUGACAGGACUGAACUCUUGAAAACAAAAUGAAAAGCCAUAGAUAGUUUUCCUGUUAGCAAUAGCAUCAUAUAAUCAAAAUUAGAUUAAAUUUAAUCAACAAAAGUAAUCCAACCAACAGUUUUGGAAUAACAAAUAAAUGUAACAGAUAAGCAACAAGCUUUGUAACAGAACUAGCAACAACCUUUUUAGUUUAUUUAAUAGAUCCACUUAGUUGCAAAAUAUUGAAAGAAAAAACCUUAUUAGCAGGUCACACAACCAACAAACCUCCUAGCUACAAAAAAAAAAAAAAAAAAAAAAAAACUCUUAUUGUCGAUCAUGUCUAUGUUAUUAUUUUAUUAAGGCAAGGGAGUUUAAUCGAAACUCUGAUCUAACCAUAGGCGUUGGACUUCAUCUUUGGCCAUGCCAAUCAAUGUUGGCCGAUCUCCGUCUCCACUGAACAACACCUAGUCACUCGUUGGACUAUCACCAAACCAAACUUCGUCGACUACCGCAGGAAAAAGAAAAAACAGAGUAAACCCAGAAUUGAAGAAAGUGGACCUAGUUCAGGCAUUUUGUCAAUGGAUGGUGGGCGACUCAACUAGAUUGUUUAGGCUCAAAAUUUAGACAAUAAAUCACGCUAACUACACAUAAACAUCACAAACAUCACAUAUUUUGGGACACGACACCUCACGGAUUUCAUCCUUAAGUGAAUAGGAGUAGCAUGGCGAUUCUUACCUUUUGUGGGAGAGAAUCCGGUAGCAAUGGCAAGGGGAUACGCUAAUCUGUCUAGUGAAGACACGCGAGCGACCUGUGAAGGCGGAGAGGCUCGAGACCCAGCAGUCACAAGGUUCUUCUGCUUUAGCUUCAAAAUCGCUGGCGUUGUGCCCGAGCCCGAAAUCAAGAAUGAUCCACUCGCGGUUUCUAUUGCCCGAGCCAGAAAAGCAACGACCCCGACAAACGAAGCGAGCGGCGUGUGAAGGCAAAGAGGGCUCAGGACCCAGCACUUGAAAAACUUCUUCCGCUUUGGUGCCAACGCGGCCGAGCCCGAAAAUGAAACCGACCCACUCGCAGAUUAUAUCGCCGGAACCAGAAAGGCGACGAUGGCAACAAACAAAGCGAGCAGCGUGUGAGGGCCGAGAGGAGUCGUGACCUAGUAGCUGCAAUUUCUUCCGCAUUGGUGAGGAUGUGCCUGACCCAAAAUCGAAACCGAGCCACUCGUGGUUUCUAUCGUCAAAGCUCGAAAGGCGACGAUGGUGAUGAACAAAGUCGAAGUGGAAGGAGCGCAAGAGCAAGAGGGCGAGGGCGUGAGGGCUUGAGGUGAGUGAGGACCGGGAAGGAAGACGAAGAGCUCCAUGUUCAAACGUGAAAAGACCUGUGCAAGAGAGAGAGAGAGAGGAGCAGAGAGAAAGAGAGAGACAGAGGAGCCAUUAAUGGCCGCUCAGCCUACUGCCGCCUGCAACUUGCCCUAGAGGAGAGAGAGUAAUUUUUUUAUUCUAACUUUAGAUGACACGUGUCGUUUUAUUAGUGGACCUAAUAGAUAAGUAUAUGCCAGAUUGGUGGAUGACGUGGCGCUUAUGAACCACUGAAUAUUUUAUUAGAACUUUUUUUUUUAUAGUUAAUAUUUUCUUAGAACUUCAGGGACCAUGAAUUCAUCCCUCAGCACUCUUCACUCUUCCAUUCUCUCCCUCUCCCCAUGAAUUCCCCUCUUCUCUCACUCCUUUCAGCUUGAGAGGGGAAAAAAAAAAAAAAGCAAGAGCAAAAGACCCUCCAGAGCAGAAACAAGUGGAACCCGUGAAACUUGUGGAACUAUUUCUCCUGUGGAACCGAUCGAGUCCGACUCGAUUGCCCCACUUGACGAGAGCCUCCAGUUCAUGCCCUCCAACGACGACGAGGAGCAACGGUACUGGAAGAUGCGGUCCAUCUACAGGGUCCCUGCCCACCUCACUGCCCUCAACCGUGAGGCCUACCAGUCGUGAGUUGUCUCCUUCGGCCCCUACCACCACGGCAAGGACCACCUCCUCCCCAUGGAGGAACUCAAGCGCCGUGCGGUCCGCCACAUCCUCAAGCGGUCCAGGAAGCCUAUGGAGCGCUUCUUCGAGUCCCUUAGUGUGGUGGCGUGGGACCUCAAGGAGAGCUACGAUGCGUUGGACCCGAAGUGGAAGGCAAGCAGCGGUGAGGGCGCAGAACCCCUGUUCCUGGAGGUGAUGAUAACUGACGGCUGCUUCAUGCUCGAGAUCCUGAGGUUCUCAGCCAACGAGGUGCACGACUACGCGGCCAACAACCCCAUCUUCAGUAAACAUGGGAGCACCCACAUAAUGUCACACAUUUGGCAGGAUAUGCUGUUGUUAGAGAAUCAGCUUCCAAUGCUAGUGCUGGAUCGGCUGGUGGCUGUCGAGAACGAUGGCGAGAAGGUUACUUUCUUAGAUUUCGGUCGGUUGUAAGACGAGAAAAUAUUGCAAGUAUGCAAACCGCCAUACUAUGUGCACCUAACAAUACAUCUUUGUGAUCUCACACCCUACGAUGGAUCCACCGAAUCUAAUGCUCUAAAUACAUUGAUCGCACAGUUCAAAAUCACCCGAUAAUUUGAUUAGUAAAUCCAUCACAGAAACUUCAUUUAUUUCCCUUUUUCGCAAGUAGUAUCAAUAUGACCACAAUCUCAGAUUCAAUGUACUAAUGUCACUCGAACAACACAAGACGACAAAUUCGUCAGCAGGCUCCUCCUCAAGUUCUUCUCGUUCCAGAGCAAGGCAUCACAAGGAUGGGCAAAUGCUUGCACGUCCUAGACGUUUUCAGGAACAGCAUGCUGAUGGAGCCCGAGAAGAAGGACAAGGAGUUUACUUUCUUAGAUUUUAGUCUAUCGUAAGAGAUAUUGCAAGUAUGCUAACCGUUGUACUAUGGGCAGCUAACGAUACAUAUUGGUCAUCUCACCCUAAGAGGGAUCCACUGAAUCUAAUGCUCCAAAUGCAUUGGAUGCACGGUGUUGCGAAAAGGUGAGCGAUCGAACAAUAAUAUAGACAUAAGAAGAAAAUAAAUUGGACACCAGAUUUACAUGAUUCAGUCAUAAAGACUUACGUUCACAGGGAGAGCAGCAGCGAAUUUCACUAUAGAUCAAGCGAUACAAGAAGAUUACACACUCAAGUCACUCAAACACUCUCUCAGUGUUUCCCAAGCCCCAAUUACACCCAAUAAUGCACGUAGUGUUUAGCCCCGAAAUUCCUCAAUAAAUAAUAUUUCAAUCUCACAAAGGAAUUACACGCAAAUCUUACCAUAAGAUUUAAUUGGCAUGAACACUAAAUUUUCUUGGAUGUAAUUCACAAACAAGAAUGACAGAGAAAAUCCCUCCCAAGCACUCGACGACGAGACGACGCUUCAAGACCAAUUCUUCACGAUCAACCUUCUUCCAUCCAUGGCCACAAGUCUAUAUAUAUAUAUAUAAGUGAUUUGCAACUUCUCAUAAGAUUUUGUUUCAUAUCUUGGAUGAUUUUAUCCAAAACAUAUCUCUGUAUAUUUUAAACAAAAUCCAAGUCCUAGUCAAAGUUGGACUUUCCUAUUUUAGCGGCCAAAUUCUCCAAUGCAUAUUCAAACUUUGGGAAGUUGAUCUUUGGAUCUUCUUUGCUCAAUUUCGAACAUCCGCAACAUAUACAAUUCAGAAUAUUUGGAAUUUCACAUUGAACUCAAACUCAAGACAUAAUUUAACAAUCUCCACCUUGGCUCGAUGUUUGAGCCAAGUCACAAUCGCUUUGCGAAAAUUCAAACUCUGCUGCUAUUCUUCCAUAGCCCCCGAUGGGCUCAACCGCCAUAGAUAUUAUCCAAGUCCAAGCUUCGCUUGAACUUCGCCAUAACUGAGGACCUCAUUAGAAUACCAACUCCACAUGCACCUUUAACUUUAACUGCUCCGCAAGAAUUUUCCAACGCAACCUCCUCAACUGCAAAUAAAGUAAAACCAUUGUUGCAUCCAUAUCUGUUAGAAGAUCGAAUAUGUACCUUGUUAAUUUCAGUAGUUACAGCAACCGUUGGCUCUAUAAGCUCCACCUCGCUACAAGCACCAUCUGUGUCAAUUACUUUGCUAGUACUCAUACUCACCACCUCAGGAGUUUCUUGUCGCAACUUCACCUCAAGCUGAACACCAUCCAGAUCCGUAUUAACACUGCCACAAAUACUCAUAGCCAGAAGUAUUGGAGACUUAUCAAGGAGAACUUCUUUGCUAUUAACAGGUGAAUUUAUAUCUUGGCACCACAACCGAUCGCCCCACUCACCUUGUGCAUAGCCAUGGAAUAUGCACCUUGCCCUCCAAUCGAGCUUACCAUCACUCACUUGAAAAUAACACGAGCAACCAAACAUUCUAAUAAUAGAAUAACCAGCAACGUUACCUGACCAUACUUCUUUAGGAGUCCGCCAUUCAAUAGCAGUUGAUGGGGAUUUAUUCACCAAACAGCUUAUUGUACUAAGUACAUCAGUUAGGAUUCUCCUAGCAAAACCAGCACUAGAGAUAAUUUUUUGGGCCGUCUCUAGUAAUGUUCUGCUCAUCAAUUUUGCAAAUUGUUGUGAUUUAUCGGCACUAGUGCGGUGUUUCACUAUGCUCUCUUUCAUGUAGAAUUUAUUUGCCAGCUUUGAGCAAAACUCCAUGCUAUUGUCAGUCUGCACAUGCUUGAUCGACUUACCAGUCUCCAUCUCGAUCAAAGCUCUUGACUGUAAGAUCCUGACACCGGCAUCAAACUUUUGCCUUGGCACAAACACCCAGGUCUUCCUCAAGCAGUCAAUAAACUCUCGAACAGAUGCAUCCGACGUCUCCGGGGCGAAAUCUGUCAUUGUCUUACCUUGAAGUUUAUACAGGCCUCCGUGCUUGAUUCAUUUCAUUAUCACCAAGGCACCUCGAACAACCUUUAGAACUCCACCUUUUGAAGAAUACCUGCAACUAGCCGAAUCUAGGGCACCCAAGGAAAUUAAGUUCUUUUUCAAUUCUGGAACGUGUCUUACUCCAGUCAAUGUCCUCACAAUACCAUAAUGCAUUUUGAUUUUAACAUCACCAACACCCACAACAUCACACUCACCGUUGUUCCCUAAGUGGACUUUACCACUACCCGUGUACUGAUAAGUGAUAAACCGGUUUCUAUUUAGUGUGACAUAAAAAGAACAACCAGAAUCCAAAAUCCAUCCAUCAAGCGAUGAAUCAUUAGUGACAUACAAGACACAAUCGACAUUAUCAGCUAUAGCUGCAAUAUUAUCUGCAGAAUCAACUAUAAUUCCCUUACCCUUCUCAUUUUUUAACUUAAGACAAUCCCUUCUAAGAUGCCCCCUCUUGCCACAGCUCCAACAGACAACAUCACCAGUCCUAGACUGACUACGCCUGUUCAUAUUAGUACUACUCUUACCCACACGCGUUCUAGAUCUUCCUCUAUUUUCACCUACUAAAGCUGCAGAUACAUCUUCACUAGAUUCUCUUCUACAGAUGUCCUCGCUCAGAAUCAAAUCUCGAAUCCCAUCAAAUGUCAAACUUGUUGACUCAGAGGAAUUACUAACGGCAGUAACAGUAGUAUUACAACUAUCAUGCAAUGAGGAUAACAGAAUCAAAGCACGUACCUCAUCUUCAAAGUCAAUCUCAACUGAACUCAAUUGACUGACAAUCACAUUGAAUUCAUUGAUAUGAUCUGCAACUGACGCACCUUCGCUCAUCUUCAAAUUAAAUAGACGUCUCAUCAAAUCGACCUUGUUGAUCGCAGAGGGCUUCUCAUACAUAUCCGACAGGGCUUGCAUCAAAUCAGCGGUGGUCUUCUCCUUCAAGAUAUUAAACACGACGUUACGAGCCAACGUUAGCCGAAUUACACCCAUAGCUCGUCUAUCCAGCAAAUCCCAAUCAGCUUGCUUCAUCGUCUCUAGUUUCUCCCUAUAUAAGGGCAAGUGUAGUUUCAUCUGGUAAAGAUAAUCUUCAAUCUACAUUUUCCAGAAACUAAAAUCCUUCCCAUCAAAUCUGUUGAUUCUCACUUUUACUUCUUCUAUCGCCAUCGAUUUGCUUCAACUUAGCCAAGCCUGGCUCUGAUACCACUUGUUGCGAAAAGGCGAGCGAUCGAACAAUAAUAUAGAUAGAAGAAGAAAAUAAAUCGGACACCAAAUUACGUGAUUCAAUCGUAAAGACCUACAUCCACGGGGAGAGCAGCAGCGAAUUUCACUAUAGAUCAAGCGAUACAAGGAGAUUACACACUCAAGUCACUCAAACACUUUCUCAGUGUUUCCCAAGCCCCAAUUACACCUAAUACCGCAUGUAGUGUUUAGCUCCGAAAUUCCUCAAUAAAUAAUCUCUCAAUCUCACGAAAGAAUUACACGCAAAUCUUACCACAAGAUUUAAUUGGCAUGAACACUAAAUCUUCUUGGAUGUAAUUCACAAACAAGAACGACAAAGAAAAUCACUCCCAAGCACUCGAUGACGAGACGGUGCUUCAAGACCAAUUCUUCACGAUCAACCUUCUUCCAUCCAUGGCCACAAGUCUAUAUAUAUAAGUGAUUUGCCAACUUCUCAUAGGAUUCUGUUUCCUAUCUUGAAUGAUUUUAUCCAAAACAUAUCUCUGUAUAUUUUAAACAAAAUCCAAGUCCUAGUCAAAGUUGGACUUUCCUAUUUUAGCGGCCAAAUUCUCCAACGCAUAUUCAAAUUUUGGGAAGUCGAUCUUUGGAUCUUCUUUGCUCAAUUUCGAACAUCCGCAACAUAUCCAAUUUGGAAUAUUCGGAAUUUCACAUUGAAUUCAAACUCAAGACAUAUUUUAACACACGGUUCUAGAUCAAUCGACAAUUUGAUGAUUAAAUCUUUUUCCCCCUUUUACUCAAGUACUAUCGAUCCAACCACAAUCUCAGAUUCAAUGUACUGACGUCACUCCAACAACACAGGAUGACGAAUCCGUCAACAGGUUCAUCCUCAAGUUCUGUUCCUCUAGCAAGUGCAUCACAUGGAUGGGCAAAUGCCUGCACGUCCUAGACGUUGUCAGGAACAGCAUGCUAAUGGAGCCCAAGAAGAAGGACGAGGUGAAGAGGGAGGACAGUGGGGACAUUAUACAAUUGGCCUCGGCCACCGAGCUCAGCAAGCAUGGGAUCAAGUUCAAGAGGAGUAAGACCGACAGCAUCAAGGACAUCUCAUUUGCAGGUGGGGUCCUGACGCUUCCCAAGAUCCUUGUGGAUGAAAUCACCAUGUCUGAUUUCUUCAACCUCAUGGCGUACGAGUACCUCCAUGUCGAGACUGAAAACAAGGUUAUGUUCUACAUCUACUGCAUGGACCAAAUAAUCAACAACGGGCAGGACGUCGCGCUCCUCCGCGCCCAGGGUAUCAUCGUGAAUUUUCUGGAGAGCGAUGAGGCAGUAGCCAAGAUGUUCAACUCGUUGGGCAAGGAUGUGGUGAUCAACCACAGCCACAGCCUCUGGGACGUGCUCGAGAAGGUCAACAAGUACCGCAAUAAGCACUGGAACAGGUGGAGGGCUAAUCUCAUCCACACCUACUUCAGGAAUCCUUGGGUUGCAUUGUCUCUCAUUGCUACUGUCUUCCUCUUUGCGCUCACCAUAAUUCAGACUGUAUAUUCCGUGCUCGACUACUACAAAUGAACACUAUGCCUCUUAGUACAACAGUAUAUUGUCUUUUUUCCACUUUUUUGGUUUUUCUCUUGAUGACAGAUGCUCGAUCAUCGUCUCUUGAUCGGUUUGGGUUGUUAUGAAUGAUUUUCAUCCUACUUUCAGUCAUGUUCAUAUCCCUUUUCAAUGUUUUGAAUGAUGGACAUUUUUAUUUAACAUUAUCAAAUGAUGAUUCUCUUGUUUCAUUCUCCUUCAUGUUAGUCCAAUUUGAAUUAGGUAGGGUGAAGGAUGAUCAAAUUUUAGGCAGACGAAAUCUACCUUUGCAACAUUUCUUCUUGAUUAAAAUUUGUUAAGUUUUAGUUAAUUUAAGUGAAAACAAAUAUGGCCUUCAAAGUCAUCUCUAAUCACCAUUUGCUUCAAACAUCCUAAAAGAACCAAGUGUUUGAUGUCGAUACCUAAAUUAUGGUUAAGUAUUUAUGAUAAAAAUUGCAUAAAAAAAUCAGGGACCAACUGGACCUUAACAAAAAGGAUUUUUGCAUCACUUAGGUCUUAGUUUUAUUUUACUAUAUUUUUGGAUUAAAAAAAAAAGUGAGGCCUGUGCAAAUUGGGCCUUCUCGCCCAGCCCCUCCUUUUUUCCCUUCCGCGUGGGCUCGGGUCCAUCUGGCCCCAGCUCCCCCCUCACGGCCCGGCCCGGCCCGGCCCUCUCGUUCAUCUUCUUCCUCCUACCUUCCUUGCGCUGCACGCCACGUGCAUAGGGCAACCUAGACAAAGCAAGAAGGGCCGAGGACGGUGAUGCAUGUGGAGCAACGUGAGGAUCGGCAGAAGACCCGGACAGAUGGGCGGGCGCCUUCAAUGUGGUAGAGGAGGUGGCCUAGCUAGAGCUGCCUCGACGAGUGGGAUGCUAGUUCGGCAGGGGGAGGACGGUUGGAGCGCCGAAGACCGACUAUCGAGGAGCCACCGCCGACCGGCCCCCCUUGGCCUAUGAAUAAGGCGUCGCGUGGAGGCCAAAAAGACACACAAAGAGAGACAUAGAAGUAGCGAGCUCCGACCCCCCCUCCCGAGAGUCAUAUGGGGCAUCCCGAGUGAGCGAAUCCGAGAGAGAGAGAGAUUUGAGUUUGAGAGCUGUGAGUGAGGGUCAAGGGCAAGAUCUGAACUAUAAGAGAGGGAGGAGAGAUUUGAGAAGAAAAAAAAAAUCCAGAUCCGAGGGAGAGAGAGGGAUGCGAGGACCCGGCCUUGCCGCCGCGUGCAGCACUGGCUGCUUGGCCCAAUGUCGCCGCUGUGCAACCAUCGACAAUGAGGCCUGCUCUUGUUGCUCCCAUCGCCGCCCGCCGCCUAUAGCCGUUGCCUUUCUGUCCCACGACGACCCAGCCGCCCACUAGGCUCGACCGAGCCCCUGCAUCUGUCGAACCCGCCGUCGCCUCUUCUGUCGAUCCACCACCCGGUGACUUCCCAGUUGCCCCCAUCGGCAUCGUAGAGAGACAGAGAAGGAGAGAGGUGCGAGUCGGGUCAGAGCUGGAUCGGGCACAGGUCAUAAUCAGGUAGGGCUUUCACUGCUAGGAGAGAGAAAUGGGCUGGGCUUGUGAUUUUUUACUUUGUUUUUGGUCUCGGCCAAAUUCGCGGGCCAAGCCUCACCUUUCAUUUCCUUCACGGCUGAAGGGCACGGUUGGGUUGGGCCCAUUCGCAGAAACCAACCCAGCCAGAGGCUUGCGCGACUCGCUCGGGCCAUGUUCGAUCGGGUCGGACGCAGAGUUCCGACUCGAAUCCAUUUAGAAUAUGAUAUAUUCUUAUUAUAAUAUUAAAAAAUAUUUUAAUAAAGAAGAAAAAUCCAAAAAAUGAUUUACACUUUAAAAAAAAUGGAAAAACCCAAAAAUAUUUUAUAUUUCCCAAAAAUCAGAAAAAUAAAAAAUAAUCUUCAAAAAAAAUCAAAAAUAGCUUAAAAUAGCCUUUGAGUGGUUUUUCUUAAAAUAUUUUAAAAUACUUAACAAAAAAAAUCAAAAAAAUUCCAAUUGCACCCUUAUGAUACAUGGAUUUCUAUUUCCUUAAUUUGAUUAGAAAUUGAAUCCUAAAAUUCGUAAUUAGUAUAAAAUGCUGCAUAAAUGCUUUACUUGAUAUUAAAAUAAGAUUAGGUAUUGGAAGGAUAUUAAUAAUUAACUAAUGUAAUCAAAUCUCUUAUCCUAAUUUCUCUUAUUGUGCUGGAAUGAAAUAAAUCUAAAUUGAUUAAUGACGACUUCAUAAUGAAAUCGACUUACAAGUUAAAAAUUUGAACCAUAAGUCAUAAAUCGGUAGGCUUGGGAGAGCCUGCACUAAACCCUAUGCUUAGCGAGCCAUUAACCUCCGCUCUCACCAGCGCGUAAGAGGUGCUAAAAAGGGAGGUCACGACAUUUUAUUGUUGAUCUCAAUGUAUAAUUUGUUGAAAUGAUUUCCACAAUAUUAAAGAUAUUACAAAGCAUUACACUUCAUAAGGAAACAUACAAUAAUAUAAAUAAUAAAGCUGUAAAUCCCUUGAUUUUAAUAUAUUCGAGAAUCUGCUUGUGAUUUUCAUUGACAUUUUCAUAUUCUUCUCUCUUGAUUGAUAAAUCAAUGCCUUAACUCCCCCUUCAAAUUGGGAAUGGGACAAUCCCAAAUUCUCAAUUUGCAACGUAAGUUUCCAAAUGCGUUUUUAGAAUAAUAGCUUCGUGAAGAGAUUAACAAUUCGAUGCACAAACAAAACAUACAUAGUCACAAAAGUUCCACGAGUCACUUUUCCUCUCACAUAAUGAUAAUCUAAUUCGAUAUGUUUAGUUCUUGCAUAUAACACAACAUUAAUUAACAUAUGAAUUGCACCGAUAUUAUCACAAAAUAAUAUUGAUGGACUUAAGAGAUGAAUACCUAAAUCUCUUAAAAGGAAAGAUAUCCAAACAAUCUCAGCUAUUGUCAACCAAUUGCAUGAUACUCUAUAUUGGCACUAAAUCGAGCAAUCGUUCAUUGCUUCUUAGCACUCCAUAAUAUAUAGUUACUAUAGGCACAAAAUAUCAUAGUCAACCGUCAAGUCAAGUAGCAAUUUGCCCAACUUUCAUAACAAAAGGCAUACAACUCUAUAGUUAACUUGGACAAGAUCCGCAUUUCUUGAUUUAUUGUGCCAUUGACAUAGCGCAAAUGUGCUUCACAAUUUGAAAAUAAGUCACAGUAGGCCAAUGCGUGAAUUGAGAUAUAAAAUUGACCGCAUAUGAAAUAUCUAGAUGUGUGAUGGUGAGAUAUUAAAGAGUUCUGACAAUACUUUGAUAUAAUGUGGGAUCCAAAAAUAAUUUUGCAUUUGAGAGAAUUGAGUGCAAGUGGCUAUAGGCGUGGAUCUUGGCUUGCAAACAUCCAUUUGAGCACAUUUUUUUUUUUGGUCGAAUCCAUUUGAGCACAUUCAAAAAUUGACAAAGCAUAUGUGGUUGGCACAAAUAAAGAUGAUCAAAUAAUAUUCUAACCUCCACAACCAAAAAGUAAUAUAAUGGCUCUAUAUCCUUUAUUGUAAAUUCACUACUCAAUGAAGAAAUAAAUCCAUCAAGCAAGUUUGGAUCAUUACUAAUGAUAAUCAUAUCGUCCACGAAUAAAAGUAGAGCUUGAAUGCCAUGAUCUGAUUUUUGAAUGAUCAAGGAAGGAUCUACAUUGCUGCAAAAGAAACCGAAUGCUAAAAGAAACAAGCUAAAAUGAUCAAACCAUGCUUUUGAUGCUUGCUUGAUUCCACACAAAGCUCUCUCAAGUUUGCAAACACAAUACAAGUUUUUUGGUCCUCAAAACACGGCAGUUGCUCCAUAUAAAUAGAUUGUGACAGAAAUAAAUAUCUAUAUUAAAAAUAAAAAAUAAAAAUUGACCAAAAAAAUAUUAAAAAUGAAAAACAACAAAUGGGGAGUAGAUUAAAAAAGAAAAAAAAAUCAAAGCCCACUUGCAUCAAUCGUACACUCUCACUACUCUCCCUCCUAUACAUCCGAAAAGACCCUCUUUUCAUCUAAUUUAUAGAUAUGUGAAACAAAAUUUUCAUUGGACCCUCAGAAAAAUAUGCAUCCACGGGAAAAAAAAAUGUUGAUAUACAGACAAUGAUAAUUUAUAAUAACUUUUCUAAUAUAACUAAGUACGAUGUAUUAUAUAAUGGGAUGAGAUAACCAUACUUUUUAAGUUUCUACUUUGAGUUAUGCAAUAUCAAUUUUGCAGACUUUAAUCAUCAAAUUGAUUUGAAAUGCCUGUGUUUGUCAUGUUUGGUGCAUGAGGACCUAUAAACUGCACAAUGACUCGUCUGCAGUCUCACACUCUGUUCAAUGGAUGUAAAGGCUAUUGUUAAACUUGGAUUACGGUCUUUGCCUAUUUUGUUGUAUUUUAUUAAUUAAUCCAUGAUGGGGUGCGAUUGGCACGCACCAUUUCGACUUGAUAUGCUACAAUGAAGGGGUGUGAUGGGGUCAUAUAAAAGACCCCUGAAGACAACCGUUGGAUGGCUUGAACGAACCUACGUUCAGAAAGUUUUCUUCCUUUCUCUCCCCUUUCCAUCAAGACGUUCCAUUCCUUCUUUACGAGAACAAUUUGCAUUUACGCCGUGAAAAUCGGGUGCUUUCCUUAUGAUCGCAUCCAGACCAAUGUGAGGUAAUAUUAUUCAUAUUUUAUCAGCAAUUCAAUGUUCGUUCCGGGGCUAAUUGUUGUUUGCGCAUCGGAUAAAGGUAAGUCGUCUUCCGCCGACUCGAAUUCCAACAUUGGUAUUAGAGCCCGGUCGCGAUUUCUGCCUUGUUUUUUCAUUGAGUUUUCUCGUUUACCAUUUGAUAUUGAGAUCAAGAGUAUAAAAUAUAACACUGUUUGGAUGUCUAAUGGUCGGAAUUGCCAUCUGAAAACUCGAAAUCGAAUCGAAACGAAGAACGGGUUUGAGGUUGUGUACACCCGUACGAUUUUCGCCUUUUUUCGAAAUAAUUUUUUGGCCAAAAUUAAUUUUUGAAUAUACAUGGUGAAAGAGCUCGUCGAGACGAGUCCGACGAUGGGUCGAGCGCCGCCAAAGGACGUCGAAUGCGCCUACACGCACGGCCAGAAGCCGCUACGCGUGGGCGUCAUGCGCCUAAAGCACUGGGACGACCGGCGCAUGCGCAACACGUGCCGGUUGGCGAACUAGCGCGUGUGACCGGCGCGUACGCAACACUCGCCGGACGACGAACCGGCGCGUGAUGACAUCUUUGUGACGUCAUCCAAUGGUUAGGAUGACGUCAUCGCCGGUAGCGGUUGGCCGGCCGGUCAUCGGCCAACGACUGACCCGACCCGAGGUUGACUCGACCCGACUCGACCGUUGACAGUUAAUGGUCGGACCAGUUAACCAGUCCAGCAGUCAAACCGAUCGGACCGGUCAACCGGUUCGGCGGUCAAAUCGAUCGGACUAGCUAGGAGCCGUUUAGCUCACUGGCGCGUGCGUCAGGCUGCGUGUGGAUGCGUGCGAGCUCCGAUUGGAGCGUGGUCGGUGGCGUUUGGUUCGUAUGGAUGUUCUCUAUACUGUGGUAUAAUUAUUUUUCAAUUUGGAAUUUUAUAAAUGUAUAAAAAUGUGUAGGAAACCCUAAGUACGUGUAUUUUUUUGGGAUUUAAUGUAUAGUUUAUUCAUUUGUAACUUGUAUUUUCUUGUGGUUUAGGAAAUACAGUAACUAGCUUGUGUACAAAUGAUGUCAUAUAUGCUAUGUAGAGCUUGGUUCGAUAAUAUCAUGAAUAUACUUGCAAUUUUCUAGUUGCUAGAAAAUUCGAACAAUGGUAGGAAAUUUAUUACAUGUUGAAUUGCGAUUUUAAUUAUAGUUGAAGCAUGAUUGUUGUUUGUACAUUGGUUCAUAUCAUGCUAUGUUUUUAUGUUAAUGGAAAAAUAUAGAAAUUACAUGAGGUCAUGUAAUUAUUUUAUCUAAUGGGAGUUCGUAAGUUGGUAGAAUUCGAAGGAGUUCUCACCUAGAACUUAAAAUUUGUGCAAAUUAAACUAAUUAAUGAUAAUAGAACAAUUGUACAUAGAAGUUGAUUGGGAACAUAGUGAACUUUUGCUUUUGUGUCUUUUGUUGAAUUAUCAUUAAUUUAGUUUGUCUUUACUGCAAAUUAAAUAUGUGUGUUACUCUGUAAAGUGUGCUAGUAUUGAUUCUGUGUUUAUUAUAUCAAUGUGUUAUAGCAAUUGAUUAUAGCUUCAGCAUCCAAGACCAUUGUGGCUGACCUUAAUAAGGGUGAGAAGUUGAACGGUGACAAUUAUGAUAUUUGACACCGAAAGGUUCAGUACAUUAUUGAGGAGCAAGAGGUUUUGGAAACCCUCAACCAUACCAUGGAUGAAUCUGAGUGUGGAAUUUCAGCUUAACAUGGGAGAGAUCUAGAAGCUUAUCAAGCUUGGAAAAAGAAAAAUAGCAUUGCUCGCAUCACGUUGUUGAGCUGUAUGCAAGAUAAUCUCAUGUGUGAGUUUGAAAGUUAUGAUAAAGCUCAAACUAUGUGGGUUGCCUUGAAAGAUAAGUUUGGGGGUACUAAGCUGAGAAGACUAAGCUGAGGAGACUCACCAUCAAGUUUGACACAUUCCGAAAGUGCCCAAAUGUAACGAUGAGGCAGCAUCUUCGGGAGAUGUCAAAUAUGAUUCGUGAGCUGAAGUCAGCAGAUCACUACCUUACUGAUGAACAGCAAGUUUAGGCUGUUAUAAGGUCUCUUCCUAACAAUUUGGAGCAUAUGAAAAUAAUAUGACGCAUAAUGAGAAUAUUGUCACUUUUAAUGAUAUUGCGCGUCACUUGGAAUUAGAGGAUGAGCGUUUAGAGGUUGCGAGAUCCUCUACCCAUACUUAUGUUGCUAAAUCGAGUUCACGCAAAGCUUCGGGCUUCAAGCGCAAGAGGAAUUUUCAGUUUAACAAUAAAGGGAAGAAGACUGAUCAUGCAUCAAAAAGGGCUAAGACCUUCCGACGCAAAAAGCGUGGUGGGAAGAAUGACAAGGCCAAGAUGGAGUGCUACAAUUGUGGCAAGAUGGGUCACUUUGCUCGUGAAUGCACUAAGCCGAAAAAGGCACCCUAUUACUCCAUUACUUUGAGUAAUGCUUUUGUUUCUAGUACUAUAAUGCUUGCUGAAUCUCAUCUAAUGUAGACUGUAGACUUAGGAGCAACAAACCACGUAGCUAGAGACCGAGAAGCAUUUGUGGAGUAUCGUCGAAUACAGUCUGGAAGAAGAUGGAUAUAUGUUGGGAAUAACUUAAAAGUUGAAGUGAAUGGUAUCAACACAUGUAAAUUAAUCUUACGUGGUGGUCGAAACAUAUUCCUGCAUGAUGUUCUUUAUGCUCUUGAUAUUCGACGAAACUUGGUCUUUGUAGUUGUUCUUCUUAGCUUAGGUUAUGUAUCGAAUUUCUAUGGUGAUUAUGUUGACAUUUUGUAUUGAACAGUUUAUUAUGGUUCAGGUCAUAUAUCGAAUGGUUUUAUGGCGUUAGACAUUGACUAUGAUCAGUACAAUGUUAAUGUCGAUGGUUAUUUUUCUUUAAUUGUAUCUUCUAAUAAUGUUGAGAUUGAUGCAAGUACUUGGCAUGCUAAAUUAGGUCAUAUUGGAUUGCAAAGAGUGCAAAGAUUAGCUAGAGAAGGCCUUUUAGGGUCACUCACUAAUGUUAGUCUAUCCGUAUGUGAACAUUGUCUAGCGGGAAAAGCAACUAGAAAACCAUUUGGUAAAGGGACUAGAACUGAAUUUCUAUUGCAUCUCAUACAUUCUAACAUUUGUGGUCCUUUGAAUGUGAGGGCGAGGCAUGGAGCCUCAUAUUUCCAUCACUUUCAUAGAUGACUUCACACGUUUCGGUUAUGUCUUUCUGAUCUCCCAUAAGUCAGAAGCAUUAGACUGCUUUAGACGAUAUAUAGCGAUGGUAGAGAAUCAAUUGAACAAAACAAUAAAGGUAUUGAGAACCGAUCGUUGACGUGAGUAUUUAUCGGAGCAAUUCAAGGCUCUUUGUGAUGAAGGAGAAUUGUACAACAAUUGACUAUUCUUGGUACUCCACAAUAAAAUGGGGUGGCUGAGAGAAGGAAUAAAACCCUAUUGGAAAUUGUUAGGUUUAUGAUGGCGCAAGUAAAUCUACCUAUCUCCUAUUGGGGAGAUGCGUUAUUGACUGCUGCCUAUAUACUUAACCGAGUGCCCCCAAAAUCAGUCACUUUCACCCCUUAUGAAUUAUGGACUGGUAGGAAACCAGACUUGAGUAAUCUAUGUCCAUGGAGAUGUGCAACUUAUGUUCAUGAUUCUUUCCAUAAAUAUGACAAAUUAGGACCUAGAGGGAAGAAAUGUAUCUUUAUAAGAUAUCCAGAACACUCCAAAGGGUACGUGUUUAUAGGUGAACAAGCUGAUGGAAGUGUGACCGAAAUGAAGUCACAAGAUGUCACGUUCUUGGAUAACGAUUUUCCUAGUAGAGGUGAGAUUGAUAAGGACUUCCAAUUAUAUGAGAUGGAAGAUCCUAAUAACACACCCACUGAUGUUGUAAAGGGAAAUGAAGAUUUACCUCAACAUGCAAGAACUAGUGGGAGUGUUGCAUCGCCUACCUAAUUGAAUUUCUUUACGAAUUGAAUUAUAGAGAAAUUCAAUUGCGUAAAAAUAAUCGUAAAAGUAUUCCCCGUCGUCGUUUAGAGAUUGAAAAUGAAGUAUUUAUGAUUGCUCAAAAAGACGAUGCCAAGCCUAAAACUGUUCAAGAGGCUCUCUUAUCCUCUGAUAAGGAAAAAUGGAGAAAAGUUUUGGAAGAUAAGAUGGAAUCAAUGAGGACAAAUCAUGUCUGGGACUUGGUUGAUCUACCACCCAAUCGUAAGGCCAUUGGAAACAAAUGGGUCUUCAAGACUAAGCGAAGAGCGGAUAGAUCUAUUGAAAAAUAUAAGGCUCACCUUGUGGCGAAAGGUUAUAUUCAACAAGAGGGUAUAGACUAUGAGGAAACUUUUUCACCAGUUGUAAGGUUUGCCUCAAUACGCCUUAUUCUAGCCAUCGUUGCACAGUUGAACCUUGAAUUACAUCAGAUGGAUGUAAAGAUGGUUUUUAAUGGAGAACUAGAUGAGGAAAUCUAUACGAAACAGCCAAUAGGUUUCGUAGCUAAAGGUUAAGAGCAUAAAGUUUGCAAACUUCAUCGCUCAAUAUGUGGCCUUAUGCAAUCAUCUAGAUAGUGGUAUAUUCGUUUUCAUCAAGCCAUAACCACUUUUAGUUUCACGAUGAUCGAAGAAGAUCACUGUGUAUAUGUCAAGCGGUUCGAAGAUAAAUUUGUGAUUUUAUCACUUUAUGUGGACGAUAUUUUAUUGGCUGGAAAUGACAAGGUUUUAGUUAUCACCAUAAAAGAAUGGUUGUCUUCUAAUUUUGAAAUGAAAGACAUGGGAAAAGCUGCUUAUAUAUUAGGAGUUAAAAUCAAAAGAGAUCGAUCAAGGAAACUCCUUACUUUAUCACAAGAGUCUUAUAUUAUGAAGAUUCUUGAGCGUUUUAACAUAUAACAUUGUAAUCCCAUUGAUACCCUUGUCAUGCAAGGUGAAGGCCUAAGUACUAAGAUGUGUCCUAAGACUCUAGAAGAAAUCAAAGUGAUGGAAACUGUUCAUUACUCUAAUGCAGUCGGAAGUUUGAUGUAUGCUAUGAUGUGUACUCGACCCGACAUAUAUUAUGCCAUGGGAUUGGUGAGCCGAUAUCAAUCAAAUCCUGGUCAAGCACACUGGAAAGCAGUGAAGAGAAUCCUGAGAUACUUGAAGGGUACCAUGGACAUCGACUUUGUUACCAAGGGAAUGAUUUACGCUUAUUAGGCUAUUCAGAUACCGAUUGGGGUGGAGACCUGGAUAAGCAUAAAUCAACUUAUGGAUAUGCGUUCUUGCUCAAUGGAGGUGCAAUUUCUUGGAAUAGCAAGAAACAGACAUGCACGGCCUUAUCUACGAUGGAGGCAGAAUUUAUUGCAUGCUCUGCCGCAGUGCAAGAAGCAGUAUGGCUAAAACGUUUCUUAGAAAAUUUAGCCACUGUCACUAAGGUUCCAAGACCGGUGAUAAUUUAUUGCGAUAAUCAAGCAGUGAUUGCCUAUGUGAAAGAUCCCAAGUAUCAUGGAAGGACAAAGCAUAUUGACAUAAAAAAACAACUUCAUAAGAGAUAUAAUAGCGUAGAAAUAAGUGAUCCUACAAUAUGUUUCAACCAAUAGAAUGGUUGCCGAUCCAUUUACGAAGGCUAUUCCUAAAGACAUAUUCUUGACCCAUAGGAUGUCAUUAAGAUUGCGUAGAAUGUGAUAUGUGUUAUUGUAGAGGAUCAUUGGUUUAUGUAUUUGUGAACAUAUGUAUUGUACUUGUUUGUUUAUUAGUGUCUUGAUAUUUUUAUCAAUAAGUACGAAUACAGUAUGAGACAAGCACUACACACACAUAUUAUUGAAAAGUAUGUCAACAGGCAAUGAUUGGCUCACUCACACGAGCAAUCGCCUCAAGUGCUUUAGAUAGCACAUUGAGAUGAGACGUUAUGUCCAAAUAAAUGAUGAAGAGCAAUUCUAGUACAUAAAAUAUGUUGCCUUGAUUGUAGUCAAUAUGAGGUCUGUGAUUUGUUUAUAACAAGACCGAAUAUGAUAGUCUCACAAUCAUGUAUACCUAAAAGAUGCUAGAUGCGAGUACUUAAUUGGGAGUUAUAGAAAGCGAGCUGAUAUAGCAGUCAGGCUAAACAUGAGUACGUGAGAAGCACAUGACUAUGUUUGGGCUAAGAUCUGUAUAAUGGAUAUUUUGAUAAAUGACAUACGCUUUUAUAGAAAGAGUAAUCCACUAUAACAUGUAAUUCAUACUACAUGUGCAUUGUACGACCAAUAAGGGAAGAUGAGUAAAAUUAUCCUUAUUUACUCAUCGUGUAAGCCUUUGAGGUAAUUUAUAAUUUACCUCAUUAUGUGCCCCAUGUUACUUUUGAUUAUGUUCUCAAAGUAAAAGAUCAAUGUUGCUACUUUAGCAUGUUAUCGGCAGUCAUGAAUAGAUAUGGCCUUAUGGGAUGUGUCUAGGAAAGCAGUUGUUUUGAAAUGGAGAAAGACAUGAGUGCGAAGGAAAACUAUUGUUGUUUUACAUCUAUUACAUGUAUUUACUGGUUGACCAAUUAUAUCGCCUUAUGUGGUUGCGGAUAUAAUUGUAAAUACAUGAUGUGUUUUUGAGGAUAGUCAAGUAUAGCCUUUAAGGGAUAGGUAUACUUGGAUUGAUAUAACAAAAUAUGUCUAGGGCACUGUGAGACAUCAAUUGUUUAUUUCUUUUCAGGAUUGCAACCAUUAUGUCAUCCCUAACAGGUGCAUAAUUUGAGCUCCCAAGUGCAUGUGUACUCACUGGUCGCACGGCUUACUUGCUAGUAUGAAUUAUUUUGUAAAGUUGAUGAAUGUUGAACGCCCCAUAUUCUUGAAAGAGAGCUAUCAAGCCUAUCAUGUCCGAGUGGGAGAUGUUGUAUUUUAUUAAUUAAUACGUCCAUGAUGGGGUACGAUUGGCACGCACCAUUUCGACUUGAUAUGCUACUAUGAAGGGGUGUGAUGGGAUCAUAUAAAAGACCUCUGAAGACAACCGUUGGACGGGUUGAACGAAUGUACAUUCAGAAAGUUUUCUUCCUUUCUCUCCCCUUUCCAUCAAGGUGUUCCAUUCCUUCUUUACGAGAACAGUUUGCAUUUACGCCGUGUAAAUCAGGUGCUUUCCUCGUGAUCGCAUCCAAACCAACGUGAGGUAAUAUUGUUCGUGUUUCAUUGGCAAUUCAACGUUCGUUCUGGGGCUAAUUGUUGUUUGCGCAUUGGAUAAAGGUAAGUCGUCUUCCGCCGACUUGAAUUCCAAUAGUCUAAUUGUAACAUCGGUAAUGCACACAGAGCUGUCUGUACAAUGUAGAGAUAUUGAUAUUUAUUCUAGACAUUCCAUUACCAUUAGCACACCCCUCAUUAUAUGCAAGGCAACCCCUUCAUCGUCUCAUGCCGACUCUUAAAGCCUGUAGUUGUUUCAGAAUCAUUUUCGACAGACGAGAGGACAAAGGGUCUCCUUUUGUCUCGCCCCGUCGUUGCUGUUUAAAAACAUACCAAGAAACAUAUAUCUGGGACCAAAAUCAGUCUCUACACAGACUCAAGACUAUGGAGAAAGUAGGAAGGGGACACGUGGGUAGAAUGCCAUUCUUUGUGUGGAUGAGAUUAGGGACAUGAGGCAAGUUGAGCUCGGAAUCGAGACACUAGCAUCAUACACCGGAUGUAUCUUUGGCCAUCAAACUAGUUAUCUAAGAGGUGGAAAAAUUCACGAGCUCACGAGUCAAAACACAACCAGCCUACAUAGCCCCCAAGGAUGCCGGGAGACUCGCGGAAAAAACCUGUCCCUUAAGAACCACGAAAAGCCUUCAGUCUGUUAUUAGCAAUACGCUAUUAAGGAAAGGAACAGCACACACUGCACAAUCGAAUGAAAGCAAAUAUGGCAAGUUCUUCACCUCCCCAACAUCAUUUGGUUGGGAAAUCACAUGCCCCACUAUCAGAUCAAAUUAUCAUCAACAGGUUCAACAAUCUUUCCUAAUGUCAAAGAGCUUCAAAAUCCGUAGAUUGAAAAUAUAAGCAGCCUGGUUGACUUGAAGGGAUCCACAAAAACAUGCAAGUUUAUUGAUACGCAUACUUGAUUUCGCGAAGGAACUCAUGGUAAAAUUUCCCAGAACUUCACUCAUCAGAUUCUAUGCGACGUCCUAUAUGUAAAUAAAGAAAGAAAAAUUCACCUCCAGAGAGUAGUGCUUGAGCACAGUCACAGAGUACAUGGCGUUCGGCCCUACAAGGUCAAUUUUUUCCCUCAAAUUGGGUAACAUUAGAAACUCAGAGCAAUCGCAAUCCACAACCUUCACCAAAAGAAGAUUGGAUUGUAAAGCAAAGUUAUACAAACUAGCCAACUAGGUCUCUCUCUGAUGUUAAGUAUUGACUGGCAGCUGACUUGGUCGGAGAGCAAGGCCAAAGGAUGUAUUAGAAAGAAAACCAAAAUUCCCGGAAGUGAGUCCAAGAGGAGGAGUUUCUUACAACAUCACAAAUGCGGGGAGCUCACUCGUCCAUAUCCUCUUCUCCAUCGACUUCCGCCUCUUCAUCCUCCCUCCUGAGCUGACCCCAUACAUUACACUCCAUUAUAUCGGAAGGACGGAUGGAGGCAGAGGGGCCAUUGUCCCGCCGCAGUUUUUCCUGUUGCACAUAUACCUAAUGAGGAAAUACGCAUGGGGGAAGUCGGUCUCUUUAUCCUCUGCAAUACCCACCUCCCACCUGCUCAUUUGUUCAUCGGCAUCCUCAUCCGUCCCUUCAUUGUCACCAUUGUCAUCAUCGCUGCUAUCAUGGUUCUCAUUCUGGUCAUCGGAGCAAUUGCCUCGACCUUGCGCCGAUCUAGCCAAAUUCAAGCUCACCAAGCCUUGUUGACCUCUAGCGAAGGUUCAGCUAAUUGGAAUCUGGCGAGCUCAACCUUGCCUGUAGCAGGCGAUCGGCCGAAAAAGAAGCAAAAAGAAAAAUAAAAAUAAAAAUAAAAAGUAAUUAAAAUUUUCAAUCAAUUAAAAAAAAGAAAAAAUAAAAAUAAAAAUAAAACAUUAUUAAAAUGAGUGCACUGAGGUCCAUAUCAAACGGUGGAAAAUGUUUUCUAGAUCUUUUUAACGUUUUAGCCAACCACUGGAAAAUAUUAUUAUUUUUCUAAAAAAAUGACUCCUUAAAAAACACUUUUUAGAUAUGUUAAAAAAAAUUAUUUUUUAAGUUUAUUUUUGGAUUUCAACCAAACAGAGCCAAUGUAACAUUGACUCAAUCUAUUAAAAUAAGUAGGUAAUCACUUCUUCAUUUGGACAACAUUUAAAUGGUCUCAUAAUUACAACUCAUGAGUGGUAGAUACACUUAAAAUAGAUAAAUUCACAAUGCAUUUGACUCGUGCUCCUAAAUUUUCUCUCUUUUUUUCUCCCCUUCUUGCACACAAUAUGUGUGCCCUAAUGCUAAUGAAUUUACUUUAUAUCUUUUACACCCUAGCUUCGCAAAGAUUCUUCUCAGAGCAAAAGUAGUGUGCCUUUAAGGGCGCGCAUGACAAAAUUUAUGUUUCUUGAUUUCUCUGUUUCUCUGUUCUCCGGAACAGGUUUGGAACAAAAAUCCGUUUGGUAAUGCAAUUUGAUUUCUCUAUUUCUGAAACAGAUUUCUAUUCCAGAAAUAGAGAAAUUGAAGAAAUCAGAAGCUAAAAUUUUUAACUUCUCAGUUUCUGAAAUAGAAAUCAGAAACUAAAAUCAAACCAUAUAAAAGAACCUUGCACUUUCUUGCUAACUUAAUUCACUCUUAACCACAACUUCACAAAUUAUUGCUAAUUUUCUUUUUCUUAUUUUGCUCGUGUUUUUUUUUUUUUUUUUGCAUUUUUUUUCAAUUUUUUUUAUAACUUCCUCUUUAGGAUGAAAGGCAAUUGAAUGGGUCCCCAAUUUUCAAAAACGACCAAAGUUCUUAAAUGCUUACUUAAAAACAAUGAGGCUCUUUCCUCCUAGAAAAGACACGCGCAUGGCUAGUUGAAGAAAAAGUUCUUACAUAAUAGAUGAAUAAAAAACUUGCCUAGAAAUUUAACCUUAUUUUUUUAUGGAUUCAAAAUUCUUGCAAAAUCAAAAUAAUUAGAUUGUUACACAAUUUUGAAUUUUAAUUCGAAGACAAGAGAUUCAAGAGAAUCUCUCUCUUUGCUAUGCAAGGGUCAUUAAAGGUUCAUUGAGCAACAAUAAAGAAAUUAGGGAUGAGUAAUUGGACUGAUUCAAUUUGAGAAUCAAAAUAAACCGACCUUCCCCCGAUUGUUUCCUAACCAUAAACAUUACUUUAAGGUAGAAUUCUCAUAUAUUCCUUUACACCAUUAAUUUUAUUUUGUUGAUAAUAUUGUAUAAUACUAGUUUUUGAUAAAAUGACAAGGCUGUAUAGGCGCCAUUAAUGGCACCCAUAUUCAUGCUUCCGCAGUACUUGUCUGAACCUACGCAGGAUGAGCUUGCAAAUGAUACAUUGACCGAGGAGGGAAACCAAAAAAAUAUGCUUAGAAAAACAAUUGCUAAUAAAAUAGCAAGGGAUAAUAAUAUGCCAGAAAUUCCAUGAAAUUGUAUUUUCAACUUUUGUAAUGUAUUAGUAUUAUUUCGACUAUUAUUUUGUAUUUGAGGAUUUCCUAUGUUGUUAUCUAAUCAAUUUCUAUUCCUAGAAAUAGAAAUUUUGUUUUGUUAUCAAACGGAAUUCUGUUUCAGAAAUAGAAAUUUUGAGUCGUUAUCAAACAGGUUUCUUUGCUCAGAAACUUGUCCGGGGAAUAGAAAUUAAGGGCCUAUUUGGCAACGUGCCAAACAGUGCCAGAUUCUGAUUUUUUGUUCCCAGAAUCAGUUUGGGACGAGAAUCGCGUUUGGUAAAAUUUUUGUUCCCGGGAACGAUUUUGGACAAGAUUUGAGAAUAAAAAAAAAUUUGAUUCUACGUCCGAGAAUCAGAAAAAGAAUCAAAACGAUAAAACCCUUAUUCUUCUCUUUCAUCAUCUCAGUUGCCAUCCGCCGUCGCCCGCCGCCGUCCGCCACCGCCCGCCGCCACCCGCCGGUCGCCGGUCCGCCGCCGGUCGCUGGAGGCUCGCCAGGCCAGGGCAAGGUCCGGCGAGCUCGCCGGAGGAAAGCCCAGCCACCAGCAAGGCUCGGCUGAUGAAGGCCGACCUCGCCGAGGGCCGGCGACGCUCCGGUGAGCGUCGCCGGCCCUCAUUUGGCUGGUCACCGGUCCGGCGACCGGCCAAAUGAAGAAGAAGAAGAAGAAUAGGAAAAAAGGGAAAAAAAAAAAAAGGAAAAAAAGAGAAGAAAAAAGUAAAAAAGUAAAGAAAUUAUUUAAAAUCUAUUUAAAAAAAAAUGGAACAGAAUCAAUUAAUACGGUACCAAACGCAAUUCUAUUCCAGAAUAAAAAAUUUUGAACAGUUACCAAACGCGCUUUUUUACUCAGAAUCAGCUCCCGGAAACAGAAUCGUUGCCAAACGUGCCAGAAAUUAAUUUCUGUUUCAAAAAUUUUGUCAUGCGCAGCCUAAUCAGUUCUUUUUUUAAUCAGUCUUUGAGCAAGAAAGGAAUGUGCCCCUGUUGACUUAUUUGGGACUAAAACUGAAUGUGUUGCCCGCGUGAAAGGGACCCGGAAUGAGUUCAUCAAUAUGCGUAAUUAGGGCUUAACCAAUUCAUCAAAUGACGUAUUAAUCUGAUCGGGUGAUGGAAUUAGUCACUUUCGGAUUUAAUCGUCCUUGCAAUAUAUUUGAGUUUAGAGUUUACUAAUUAUUGCAGUUAUAUAGGAUCCAAGUGCUUCUCGAUUGGCACUCAUAAGCAAUUAUGAUGGACUCGAGCUCUUCUUGAUGGGAGCUCAUAAAUGCCUGCAACCAGUGGAAGUAUUUGAGUUUCAUACAAGACGGUUACAAUCCGUCUUAUGUGCCAUAUGAAGUUAAUUAACAAGAAGUUAUAUGAUUGUCAUGAGCUAACGGUACACACAUAAUAUCAUUACAUCACUAUACAUGCGAUGUAUGCAUAAAAAUAAAUGCAUCGAAUACUAAAUAUGAGACUCAAGUAAAAGAUCUGGAAUAUCUCAAAUAUAUAAUAUAAAAAAUUACGACAAAAAAGAAGUACUAUUUUAAAUCCAGCAUGACAUCAAAUAUGCAAAGCCGGUGUCCAAAUUGUCAUUACAUGUAUUCAAUCCAUAGGAGCCCUUCGACUUAGGGAGACACUCGGGCGUUGCGUGCGUGAAAUACCAAUCCUCGUGCGCAAAAAGUGAGCCACGCGUACAUGACUUGUCCCGUGAUGGUUGGCCCGGGUUCCAACCACCCCCAACCUCCCCGGGUCCCCCGGGCGGGGUGCGAAGUCGUCGACCCCGAGUCAAUGCAAGGCAAGACCUUCAAAAACCUCACUCCCCUCCUUCCCACACCUCCGAUUCCGAGCUCUUCCGAUCGGCGAAUCGAUCGUGGCCUGGUUGGUCUACAGCUCCGCGUCUCCGAUGAUUUAAGCUCCGGGCUUAAGGGCGUCAGAAUUGUCGAGGCCUCGGGUCACGAUCACUCUCGGUCGUUCUGGUCAGGUAUGUGCCGCUUUAGCUCCUUGGCGUCCUCGUAUGAGAUCUUUGGAUCAACUGACGUUUGUUUCAGCUGGACUCAUUGGCUCAUUGGUUCGCGGAUUCCGCGGUAGCUUAAGUUUCGUUGUUCGGGCCUGUAUCGACUGCGAUGAUAUGGUUUUGUUCGAUCGGUUAUGAUGAGGCGUAAGGUUGAUACGUGCUCUGCUUUUCUGGAGAAAUAUGUUUGAUUCCGUGAUCAGUCGAACCCCGAGGGAGGCUCUACCGUCGGAUAACUGAGCUUGUUCUUUGCAUUUUUAGCAGCGGUUCCAUCACCUGGCCGUGGGAUUGGGCCUGUCACGGUCGAACAGAAACUUGUGGGACCUGUGAAACUUGCGGAACUACGCCUCCUAUGGAACCGGACGAGUCCGACUCGAUUGCCCCACUUGACGAGAGCCUCCAGUUCAUGCCCUUCGACGACAAGGAGCAAUGGUACUGGAAGAUGCGGUCCAUCUACAGGGUCCCUGCCCACCUCACCGCCCUCAACCGUGAGGCCUACCAGCCGCGAGUUGUCUCCUUCGGCCCCUACCACCACGGCAAGGACCACCUCCUCCCCAUGGAGGAACACAAGCACCGCGCGGUCCGCCACAUCCUCAAGCGGUCCAAGAAGCCUAUGGAGCGCUUCUUCGAGUCCCUGUGGGAGGUGGCAUGGGACCUCAAGGAGAGCUAUGACGCGCUGGACCUGAAGUGGAAGGCAAGCAGCGGCGAGGGCGUGGCACCCCAGUUCCUGAAGCUGAUGAUGACUGAUGGCUGCUUCAUGCUCGAGAUCCUGAGGUUCUGGGCCAACGAGGUGGACGACUACGCGCCCAACGACCCCAUCUUCAGUGACCAGGGGAGCAUCUACGUAAUGUCAGGCACUUGGCAGGAUAUGCUGAUGUUGGAGAAUCAGCUUCCAAUGCUAGUGCUGGAUCGGCUGGUGGCUGUGGAGAGCGAUGGCAAGAAGGUUACUUUCGUCGGUUGUAAGAUUAGAAAAUAUUGCAAGUACGCAAACCGCCAUACUAUGUGCACCUAACAGUGCAUCUGUGUGAUCUCACAUGAACCCUACGAUGGAUCCACCGAAUCUAAUGCUCUAAAUACAUUGAUCGCACGGUUCACAAUCAACCGAUAAUUUGAUUAGUAAAUCUAUCACCGAAACUUCAUUUAUUUCCCUUUUUUCGCAAGUAGUAUCGAUACGACCACAAUCUCAGAUUCAAUGUACUGACUUCACUCCGACAACACAGGACGACGAAUUCGUCGGCAGGCUCCUCCUCAAGUUCUUCCCGUUCCCCAGCAAGGACAUCACAAGGUUGGGCAAAUGCUUGCACGUCCUGGACUUCUUCAGGAACAGCAUGCUGAUGGAGCCCGAGAAGGACGAGGAGGUUACUUUCUUAGAUUUCUGUCGUAAGAGAUGCUAUGCAAGUAUGCUAACCGCCGUACUAUGGGCACCUAACGGUACAUCUUGGUCAUCUCACCCCACGAGGGAUCCACCGAAUCUAAUGCUCCAAAUGCACUGGAUGCACGGUUCUAGAUCAAUCGACAAUUUGAUGAUUAAAUCUAUCAACGCCAUAGGAAGGUAUAUUUUUCCCCCCUUUUACUCAAGUAGUAUCGGUCCAACCACAAUCUCAGAUUCAAUGUACUGACUUCACUCCAACAACACAGGACAACGAAUCCGUCAACAGGUUCAUCCUCAAGUUCUGCUCCCCCAGCAAGGGCAUCACAUGGAUGGGCAAAUGCCUACACGUCCUGGACGUUGUCAGGAACAGCAUGCUGAUGGAACCCAAGAAGAAGGACGAGGUGAAGAGGGAGGACAGUCGGGAGAUUAUACAAUUGGCCUCGGCCACCGAGCUCAGCGAGCAUGGGAUCAAGUUCAAGAGGAGCAAUACCGACAGCAUUAAGGACAUCUCCUUUGCGGGUGGGGCCCUGACGCUCCCCAAGAUCUCGGUGGAUGAUAGCAACAUGUCCAUUUUCUUUAACCUCACGGCGUUCGAGUACCUCCAUGCCGGGAAUGAUUACGAGGUCAUCAUGUCCUACAUCUACUGCAUGGACCAAAUAAUCAACAAAGGGCAGGACGUCGCGCUGCUCCGCUCCCAGGGUAUCAUCGUGAAUUGUUCGGAGAGCGAUGAGGCGGUAGCCAAGAAGUUCAACUCGCUGGGCAAGGUUGUGACGAUCAAGGUCGGCCGCAGCCUCGGGGACGUGCUCGAGAAGGUCAACAAGUACUACAAUAAGCGCCGGAACAUGUGGAGGGCUAAUCUCAUCCACACCUACUUUAGGAAUCCUUGGGUUGCAUUGUCUCUCAUCGCUGCCGUCUUCCUCUUCGCGCUCACCGCAAUUCAGACUGUAUAUUCCGUGCUCGGCUACUACAAAUGAACACUUUGCCUCCCAGUACAACAAUAUACUGUCUUUUUUCCACUUUUUUUGGUUUUUCUUCUGAUGACGGAUGUUCGAUCAUCGUCUCUUGAUCGGUUUGGGUUGUUAUGAAUGAUUUUCCUCCUGCUUUCAGUCAUGUUCAUAUCCCUUUUCAAUGUUUUGAAUAAUGGACAUUUUUAUUUAACAUUAUCAAAUGAUGAUUCUCUUGUUUCAUUCUCCUUCAUGUUUGUCCAAUUUGAAUCGGGUAGGGUGAAGGAUGAUCAAGUUUUAGACAGAUGAAAUCUACCUUUGCAACAUUUCUUCUUGAUUAAAUUUGUUAAGUUGCAGUGAAUUUAAGUGAGAAAAUAAAUAUGGCCUUAAAGUCAUCGCUAAUCACCAUUUGCUUCAAACAUCCUAAAAGAACCAAGGUGUCUGAUGUUGAUACCUAAAUUUUGGUUAAGUAUUUAUGAUAAAAAUUGCAUAAAAAAAAAAUAGAGACCAACUAGACCUUAACAAAAAGGAUUUUCGCACCACCUAGCUCUUAGUUUUAUUUUACCAUAUUUACGAAUUAAAAGAAAAAAAAAAGUGAGGCCUGCGCAGGUUGGGCCUUCGCGCCCAGCCCUACCUUUUUUUCCUUCCACGUGGGCCUGACCCAUCUGACCCCAGCUCCCCCCUAACGGUAUGGGUGCGCAAAAUACCCGAGAACCGCCCGGAACUGGGGGUUCUUGAGGGAACCGGUCCGAUUCCCGAUUCCAAUUUAUGGGGGAACCGGUGGGUACUGGUCCGGUUCCCGGUUCCAUGGGUGGAUCCGCUCGCCCGUCCACCCAGACCGGACCUGAACCCUUUUAAUAUUUUUUUAAAAAAAAUUACUAAAAGAAACCCUAGUCUCAUCUCUCUCCCUUCGUCUUUGGUUCUCUCUCUCUCUGUCUCUUCCUCGGUUCCUCCUUAGGCUAUCACCAUUUUGAUUCCUCCCCGAGUGUCGACGCCGUUGCCACUGCUAUCCGCCCCUCGCGCUGGCCGCCACCUGCCACAGCCGCUACUCCUCCGCCUCUGUUGUCCGCCCCCUCGCUGCUAUCCGCCCCUCGCUCCGGGCCCCCUCCGCCAGCAAUCCGACACCGUUGCAGCCCUUACAGCCAUGACGACCGACGCCAGCAGAUCCUGAACCGGUCGCUAGCAGAUCCCGAACCGGUCACUAUUAGGGGUGAGCAGUGGUCUAGGGUCGACCCUGGACCGACCCUGGACCGGCCCAACCCUGCCGGUCCUGGUCCGGUUCCCAAGGGGACUGGGUCGGUCUUUGGUCCUGAAAUUCCAGGACCAAUACUGUGCGGGUUGGUCCUCGGUCCUAAGAGUUUUGGGUCGGUCCAACCCUGGACCAACCCUGUAUAUUAUAUUAUAUUAUUUAUAAUUCUUUUAUAUAUUCAAAUCUAAGUAAAAUGUCUGUUAUAUUAUAUUAUAUUGAGAUGUUCUAUCAAUAGUACUAAUAGUCAUUUCAAUUUAAAACUUUUGUUGAGUAAUAAUUAUAUGUCGUUUGUUUUGUUUUUAGGUGUUUAGAAGUUCAAGUAAAUUAACAAAAUGUGAAGUUAUAUAUUCAUGGUUUAUAUUCAGCAUUUUGAACUUUUUAUAGUUUAAUUGUAUUUUAUUAAUGAAUUUCGGCUGCACUAUGUUUUUCAAUUUGUGUCAAAUGGUAGAAGUUUUUGAAGAGUAGAAUAGUACUGCAGUUGCUACGGUGAUUUGCUAGUCAAGUGAUGUGAAGCUCAUUUUUUGGUUGGAUGGACUCUACAUGAUCAAAUGCAGGAAAACGCUUUUGCAUAUGGUAUUAUGAAUAUUAAAGAUAGAUGAUUACAAUAACUUUCCAUCUUGUUCCAUAUCUCGAUGAGCGGUUAGUAGGUACGAAAUUUCUAUUAUUAUGUCAUCUUAAAUUUACUAAAUAUGUAUUAGUAUUUAUAGUUUAGCUGCAUAAUACUGCAUUAUCGAUGAAUGUGUAAUUUGAAUUUAUAGGUUUGCUUUUUUAUGGAGUAUAAAAAAUAAGACGAAAAAAAUUAUCGAUCGGUCCCGGGUUAACCCUGGAACCGGACCGAACCCAUUGGGUCGGUCCGGUCCUUGGUCCCAAGCUCAAUAGGGUCGGUCCUUGGUCCCAAAAAUUGAGGACCGACACUGUACGGGUUGGUCCUAGGGUUAGGGGGUGGCCCGGACCAACCCGGACCAUGCUCACCCCUAGUCACUAUGCCUCCAUCACUGCUUACGACCACUUCCUCACCAUCGGUGCCUACAAAUCUCCCUGGUGAACAAGAUAUAGAGGGCCUACACCGCCCUCGGUGACCACGAUGACUCCAGCGCCCUCCCCACCCUCUGGGACUCCCUCCCCACCAUCGCCGUCGGCGGCGGCCAGGUCUCUCUCUCUCUCUCUCUCUCUCUCUCUCUCUCUCUCUCUCUCUCUCUCUCUCUCUCUCUCUCUAGCUGCCGUUGGGUGACAAGCUUUGUUUCAACUUGUAGCUCAUCCGGUUGAGCUGCGUUUCCCUUACGCUGGCGAUUUCAUUUGCUUGUGGUCUGGCGAUGCUUCCUCGCCCUUGUUUGUCGCACUAAUCGCUCACUCAUGUCGCAGGGCUUCUUCUGUCAAGCCAUUCGCUUCUGCUUUUUGUAUUCAUUUGAAUUCACGCGAACGCUGUUUCAUAGAAGGGCUUGACUUUAGCUUCAAUUUGAUGUGUGAAGAGCUGGUUUCUCAGUCGUUUCAUAGGCGAUCUGUGGCCCGAGUUUAAUGAUUCCUUGUCUGCAUGUCUCGUGUGUUUUUGGUCGCUGCUGUCGAGUGCUGGCUAGGAUUGUAGAAAAUGAUGUCCGAUGAAGUUGGAGUUUUUAGUCGAGAUUUCUUCUUGUCCGAAGUAGGAACUAGGAGCUAUACUAUACUACCUGAUAAAUUUUUCCUUACUCUUACCUGUUGAGAUCUAUGAAUUACUAGAAGUAUAGCAAAUCUUCCUAGUCUUUGCAGAUUGCGUAGAAAUUGUCCCCUUCCAUAUUUUGCAUGUUUGCUAGGUGCCAAUCUUGUUUCUUCCCUUGUGGUUCUAAUCAUCUGGUACUCACAAGAUUUCACUUUUGGCUAUUGUUUAUUUAACUUGUGUUGGCUUGAACAUAGGGACAUGGAGCUUGUGAUUUCUUUCAAUGGGCAGAUUCUCUGGCAGAAAAUGUGGCCUCCAAAGAUGUUGCGACUUCUAUUGUUGCACCUCUGGAAGUCAUGGAAAUUGAGUCAACAAUGGCAGAUGCUGGUGAAGAUUACGAGGUAGAUCCAUUAUCGAUGAUGGAUAGUGGAGAGAUUAAAGGAGUCAUUUGCAGAUUCUCUGCACCAGAAUGUGAUGUGAGGGGUUUGGAGAGUGAGAGUUUAACUCCCGAGGGUGAUUUGGAUACUCAAGAGUUGACUGUGGAGGAUGUGGAUUUGGGGGAGUCUACUCUAGAGCAAAUGCAGCUUGUUUCCUGUCUAACAUCUCCAGCUAGUCUCAGACAACAAGAAUACUUGAGGCGGAUAUCAGCUGCUGGUGGCAUGCUUGCUGGAAGUAGAGGUACCCUAUGAGUCAUCUUGAGGGUUUUUUCCCCCACCGCACUUGGUUUUUUUUGUCAUUCACGUGUAGCUAUAUAAUGUUGAGCAAUCAUCUAUUAAUUAUUGUUUUACUUCUCCCGCUGUCCACAUCUCCAGAACUUAAAUUUGGUUUUUCUUUCUUUGGCUUGCUUUGAUGUCACGUAGUCGUUCUAUGUUGAAAACCAAAAUUAUUUUGCGUCAAGAUCGAUUCCAUGGAUCCACCCGGGAACCAGACCGGACCGGACCGGCGGUCCGGUUCCCGGGUGGAUCCAUGCAACAAACGGGUGGAUUCCGGUUCCAAUUUUUCGGAACCGGUCCUUAGUGGGCGGUUCCUGGUUCUAGGUCGAGAACCGCCCGCCUAGACCAUGCACACCCCUACCUAACGGCCCGGCCCUGCCCUCUCAUUCAUCUUCCGCCUAACUUCCUCGCGCUGCGCGCCACGCAUGUAGAUAGAGAAAGAGUGGGAGAGGAUGGCGAUGCAUGUAGAGCAGCGCGAGGACCGGCGAGAGACCUGAACGGAUGGGCGGGCGCCUUCAAUGUGGUAGAGGAGGCGGCCUAGCUAGAGCUACCUCAACUGGUGGGAUGCCGGUUCGGCUAGGGGAGGACGGUCGGAGCGCCGAAGAUCGACUAUCGAGGAGCCACCGCCGACCAGCCCCCCUUAGCCUAUAAAUAAGGCGUUGCGGAGGCUAAAAAGACCCACACAAAGAGAGACACAGAAGUAGCGAGCUCCAACCCCCCCGAGAGUCAUCUGGGGCGUCCCGAGUGAGCGAAUCCGAGAGAGAGAGAGAGAGAGAGAGAGAGAGAGAGAGAGAGAGAGAUUUGAGUUUGAGAGAGAGAGCAGUGAGCGAGGGUCGAGGGCAGGAUCAGAACUGUAAGAGGGGGAGGAGAGAUUUGAGGAAAAAAAAAAUCCAGAUCUGAGGGAGGGAGAGGGUCGCGAGGACCCGGCCUCGCCGCCGCGGGCAGCACUGGCAGCUUGGCCCGAUGCCACCGCCGUGCAGCCAUCGACGAUGAGGCCUGCUCUCAUCGCUCCCAUCGCCGCCCGCUCCUAUAGCUGUUGCCUUUCUGUCCCACGACGACCCAGCCGCCCACUGGGCUCGAUCAAGCCCCUGCAUCGUCGAACUCACCGUCGCCUCUUCUCUCGAUCCACCUCUCGGUGACUUCCCAGCCGCCCCCAUCGGCGCCGUAGAGAGACGGAGAAGGAGAGAGGCGCGAGUCGGGUUAGAGUCGGGUCAGGCGCAAGUCAUAAUCGGGUAGGGCUUUCGCUACUAGGAGGGAGAAAUGGGUUGGGCUUGUGUUUUUUACUUUGUUUUGGGUCUCGGCCAAAUUCACGGGCCAAGCCUCACCUUUCAUUUCCUUCGCGGCUAAAGGGCACGGUUAGGCUAGGCCCAUUCGCGGAAACCAGCCCAGCAAAAGGCCUGUGCCAUGCACCCGGGCCAAGUUCGACCGGGUCAAACGCGGAGUUCCGACUCAUAUCCGUUUUUAGUAUAUGAUAUAUUCUUAUCUUAAUAUUACAAAAUAUUUUAAUAAAAAAUAGAAAAAUCCAAAAAAAUGAUUUACACACUUUCAAAAAUAAUGGAAAACCCCAAAAAUAUUUUAUAUUUCCCAAAAAAAUCAGAAAAAUAAAAAAUAAUCUUCAAAAAAAUAAAAAAUAAAAAAAAUCCUUUGAGUGGUUUUUUUUUUAAAUAUGUGAAACUACUUAACAAAAAAAAAUUUGUGUUUAAAUUCAUGGAAGCAAAUAUUGGCUAAUUCCAAUUGCGCCCUUAUGAUACAUGGAUUUCUAUUUCCUUAAUCUGAUUAGGAAUCGAAUCCUAAAAUUUGUAAUUGGUACAAAAUGCUGCAUAAAUGCUUUACUUGAUAUUUAAAUAAAAUUAGGUCUCGGAAGGAUAUUAAUGAUUAACUAAUGUAAUCAAGUCUCUGAUCCUAUUUUCUCUGAUUGUGCUGGAGUGAAGUAUAUCUCCCAAUAUUUCACUUGGGUUUCUAAUCGACUCACCUCAAAUUAAUUAAUGACAACUUCUUAAUGAAAUUAACUUGCAUGUUAAAAAUUCAAAUCAUAAAUCAUGAAUUGGUGCGCUUGGGAGUGCCCACACUGUGGCACCCCUCGACAGCCCCCGAUCCGAUUAGGGUCGCCACAGUUCACUUACCAUUCACUUUUCCUAAUAACACGUCACUCUGAUACCAUUUCAAUUGCAGCGGGUCCAUACAACCUGGGGGUUUACAUCUUUUAGAUCGGUCCCUUGCGCAAUUUAUAUACGGAAGCACAUCCAACAACUCCCUUCCCUAUGUUCAGAAAACGAUGCACACCAACUAAACAUUUAUAGGUAAAAGCCGUACACUUUUAUUCACUUAAACCAUAUGGACAUCAUUCAUCGGUAUAUCAAAAUGCCAUAGUUUUUUAUACUUGGCUAUACUUCAAAAGAUGACCGGCAUCUCUUCCAACAGUCGUAUACUUAAAGUCCAUCGAUCAGUGUCGGCGUCCAAAAGUUCCUUCCUUUGCUAUCCUACUCCUCACGAUCAUAUCCAACCACUUGAUCCAUCUACUAGUAGCAGUGGCAAUAGAGGUAUCUUAUCUAUUCUGAAAUGUUAUUCCCCAAAAUGGGUGAGUACAGCCACUCAGCAAGUAAAUGACCCAAUAAACCACUCAAUGCAUCACACACAUACAGUCACAACAAUCAUAGCAUAACACAUGUCAUUCAAGCAUCCAUGCAUAAUUUACCUUGAAAUCAUGCACAUGUCAUCAUACCACAUGUACACACAUCCUCAUGUAAUCAUCACCAUCAUGUCAUACAUGUACCAUCAUGCCAUAGGUGCACAUACAUCCAUGCACUUACCAUCAUCAUAUUACAUGUACCAUCAUGUCAUAGGUGCACAUACGUCCAUGCACUUACCAUCAUCAUGUCACAUAUACCAUCAUCAUAUUACAUGUACCAUCGUGCCAUAGGUGCACAUACAUCCAUGCACUCACCAUCAUCAUGUCACAUAUACCAUCAUGCCAUAGGUGCACAUACAUCCAUGCACUUACCAUCAUCAUGUCACAUAUACCAUCAUGCCAUAGGUGCACAUACAUCUAUGCACUUACCAUCAUCAUAUUACAUGUACCAUCAUGCCAUAGGUGCACAUACAUCCAUGCACUCACCAUCAUCAUGUCACAUGCACUCAUCAUUAUCAUAUCACAUGUACCAUCAUCAUUACCAUGCAUCCAUGCACAUAUCAUCGUCAUGUCAUGCAUAUACCAUCAUGCAUAAUUCAAUUUCAAUUUCUCGAUUUCAUCCUUUCAUUUUGGACCGUCACAUUUCCCUUUCCCGGGACCAAUGUUUGCAUCCCACAUUCAUCACUCGCACCCCACCUGGCAUCGUGAGAACCAUCCGGCACAAUACCUGCCGAGCAUCCGGCACAAUACCUGUCAGACAUCUCGUAUCCCAACUAGCAUCACGAGGCAUCCCCCUGGCACAAACCUCCAGGGCUUCUGGAAUUACGUACCGACAUACCACCAGCAUCCCCCCCUCUGGAAUUACGUACCAUAUACCACCAGGCAUCUCGAAACUCCCGAGGACCCUCUGGAAUUACGCCACUAGGCCACCGGGCAUCCGACCGUACCCUUCUAGUCAGGCAUCCCGACACUCCCGGGGCAUCGUCGGCUCACACCUUCGACGGCCUUCUCACUUAUCUCAAUUCACAUCUUCAAUUAUAGUUCAAUUUUAACAUGGCAUGUGAUGUGAUGGAAAUCAAGAUCAUUUUCAUCCUUUGAUUCGUACAUGCAUCUCCAAUCAUUAUCAUACAUGCAGCAAGACACAAUCAUUCAUAACAAUACAAUUCAUGGAGUCCAUACAAUUUAGAAUAGUCCAUUUAUCAUGCCUUUUUGAAGUUUACAAAAUUCCAUCUUGUACCCUUUUUGAAAACAUUUAAAUUAAAUAUCCAUAUGAUUCUCAAAAAUCAUGAAAUCAAGACAUGUGAUAGACAAGACAAUAAGAUAACAAUUUCAUGAAGAACACAUGCCCAAAAGAGUUCCACACAAGAAGAUAUAACUCACACAAAUACAGCAGGCAAUUUCGGAUAGAAUCAGAUUGCGCAGUUUUUGAAAUAAUUCGAUUAAAAUACACGAAUGACCUCUGAAAAUUAUGAAAUUUUAUCAGGCUAUAGUUAAGACACUAAAGUAUAUUUUUCAUGAAGACAUCUAGGCCAUAUUCGUUCUAGAUAAUUUUAUAUAGUCGUCCGAAUCUUCUGAUUCUAGCACCGAAAACGUCCAGUAUAGCUAUCUCCGAAAUAUCAAGUUUUUACCCACUUAUUCUUCUUCGUUUCCUCUUAAAUUUGGAUUUGUUUUACUUAAAGAGAUCCCCUACAACUUUCAUCAAGGGAUCUAAGUGAAAUUUCCAAAGAAUAGUCACCAUAUGGGUCCAAGAAGUCUCGGGUGUCCAGUACCGUGUUUCCAGAUUUACCGUCUUAAAGAGAAAGUCGAUUCACUAGGUUACACUUGCUCAUUUUACCUCAAAUUUGAUUAUGUUAGUAUUGAGGAUGUUCUCUACAAGUUUCAUGAAGAAGUAAAAGGGAAAUUCUCGGUAAAAAGCAACAUGCAACCCACAAAACUACCAGAAGGUCAGCAAAGCAGUUCCAGAUCUAGUGUCUUCGUAGGAAGAGGGUUUUGCCCCUUAAAUAUCAACCAUUUUGUCCCAAAUUUUAGUAUGUUAUAGUUUGAUAUUUUUUCUACAACUUUCAUGAAGGAGUCGAAGUCAAAAUCCAACUCGAAACACGCAUGCAAGCCUCCACAAGUUUCUGGGUCGGGCGGUAUACACGAAAUCAGCAAGCAUUUUCAAGAACAAACCACACUAGCUUCGGUUCCUUACUUCUAAACACCCAAGAAUUCAACCACACAUGCAAGACACACAUGCAAGAGUAGAAAUUGAUCCUAACUUGCCUCCAAAAUCGAACAAAAGACGGCACACGGACGGCGACAAACGAGCGGAUGGAUGGCGACGGACUAGCGGACCUCCUCCCUCGCUCGGCUUCUCCCUCUCUCUCUUGGCUCCUCACUCUCUCGCAACUCUCUCUCUCUCUCUCUCUCUCUCUCAAAACCAGCCACUCCCUCUCUCUCUCUCUCUUUUGGUUGCUUAUAUACUUGCAUGCACCCUCAUUUUGCAUGGCCGAAGACACUUGGAGGAAGCCAUGCGGCUCCUCCUUCCCCCUCCAUGCGUCAACAGCCCAAUGGGCUUCAUGGGCCGGGCCUAUUGGCCCAAUUUAGGCCCAUCUCACUUGGGCCUAAAGUCCAAACUUAAAUGGCCCAAGUUUAUUUUUUUAUAAUACAUCUUAAUCCUCAUUUAAAUAAAUAUCUAAUUGCAUAAUAAAAUGGCCAAAAGACUUUGUGACAUUAAUCCAUUAAAUCUAUAAAGUGCAUAGUCAAGAACAAAGUCUUCUUUAUCAAAUCGUCCUAUGUCCAAUUUAAAUAGCCCAUAGAAAAAUAUCGAUAAUAAGCCCAUAAUUCCUACACCACUUUAGGGCAUUUGAUUUUGAUUUUUAUUUAUAGAAAUCAAUUAACAUUCUCAUAAUCAAUUAAUAUUUUCAUAAGGGGUUCGGUCCAAGAGAUAAAAUAUUGUGGCCGAUGAUGUAAUUGUCCCUAUGGCCAUUCAAAGACAAAUAUCGUUUCCCUCAAAAUCAAUAUUUCGGGUUGAAAUUCCCGGAUGCCACACACACUAAGCCAUAUAUGCUUAGCGAGCCAUUAACCCCCACCUUCGCUAGCGCGUAAGAGGGUGCUAAAAAGGGAGGUCACGACAUUUUAUUGUUGAUCUCAACAUAUAAUUUGUUGAAAUGAUUUCCACUAUAUUAAAGAUAUUACAAAGCAUUACACUUUAUAAGGAAACAUACAAUAAUAUAAAUAAUAAAGUUGUAAAUCCCUUGAUUUUAAUAUAUUCAAGAAUCUACUUGUGAUUUUCAUUGACAUUUUCAUAUUCUUCUCUCUUGAUUGAUAAAUCAAUGCCUUAACUCUCCUUCAAAUUGGGAAUGGGACAAUCCCAAAUUCCAAAUUCUCAAUUUGCAACAUAAGUUUCCAAAUGCAUUUUUGGAAUGAUAGCUUCUGAAGAGAUUAACAAUUAGAUGCACAAACAAAACAUACUUAGUCACAAAAGUUCCACGAGCCACUUUUUCUCGCACAUAACGAUAAUCUAAUUUGAAAUGUUUAGUUCUUGUAUACAACACAAGAUUAAUUAACAUAUGAAUUGCACUGAUAUUAUCACAAAAUAAUAUUGAUGGACUUAAGAGAUGAAUACCUAAAUCUCUUAAAAGGAAAGAUAUCUAAACAAUCUCAGCUAUUGUCAACCAAUUGCACAAUACUCUAUAUUGGCACUAAAUUGAGCAAUCAUUCAUUGCUUCUUAGCACUCCAUAAUAUACAGUUACUAUAGAUACAAAAUAUCAUAGUCAAUCGUCAAGUCAAGUAGCAAUUUGCCCAAUCUUCAUCACAAAAGGCAUACAACUCUAUAGUUAACUUGGACAAGAUUUGCAUUUCUCGAUUUAUUAUGCCACUGAUAUAGCGCAAAAUGUGCUCCACAAUUUGAAAAUGAGUUGUAGUGAGCCAAUGCGUGAAUUGAGAUAUAAAAUUGACUACAUAUGAAAUAUCUAGAUAUGUGAUCGUGAGAUAUUAAAGAAAUCUAACAAUACUUUGAUAUAACAUGGGAUCCAAAAAUAAUUUCGCAUUUUAGAGAAUGAGUGCGAGUGGCUAAAGGCGUGGAUCUUGGCUUGCAAACAUCCAUUUGAGCACAUUCAAGAAUUGACAAAGCAUAUGUGGUUGGCACAAAUAAAGACUAUCAAAUAAUAUUCUAACCUCCACAACCAAAAAGUAAUAUAAUGGCUCUAUAUCUUUUAUUGUAAAUUCACUACUCAAUGAAGAAAUAAAUCCAUCACUAAUGACAAUCAUAUCGUCCACGAAUAAAAGUAGAGCUUGAAUGCCAUGAUCUGAUUUUGAAUGAACAACAAGGAUCUACAAUGCUGCAAAAGAAACCAAAUGCUAAAAGAAACAAGCUAAAAUGAUCAAACCAUGCUUUCGAUGCUUGCUUGAUUCCACACAAAGCUCUCUCAAGUUUGCAAACAUAAUACAGGUUUUUUUGGUCCUCAAAACAAGGCGGUUGCUCCAUAUAAAUAGAUUGUGACAGAAAUAAAUAUCUAUAUCAAAAAUAUAAAAAAAUUUGACCAAAAAAAUAUUUAAAAUGACCAAAAUUUGACCCGCCAGUGGGCAGCUGAGUUAGUUUGGCUUUGGGCAUUUCAUCGCAGAGGUCCCAGAGUUAAAACUCCGCAGCUGCUAACACGUCUUAAGUGGGAAGCCAUGGUGGUGGGGUCAUGUGCUAGUCUCCCCCGAAGUAUAGGGACCGUCUAGGCACGGGGGCCCGUGGUGGAGUUCUCAGUUAUAAAAAAAAAAAAAAAAAAAACAAAUGGGGAGUAGAUUUUAAAAAAAAAUCAAAGCCCACUUGCAUCAAUCGUACAUUCUCACUACUCUCCCUCCUAUACAUCCGAAAAAACCCUCUUUUCAUCUAAUUUAUAGAUAUCUGAAACAAAAUUUUCAUUGGACCCUCAGAAAAAUAUGUAUCCACGGAAAAAAAAAAAACAAAUGUUAAUAUACUGACAAUGCUAAAUUAUAAUAACUUUUGUAAUAUAACUAAGUACGAUGUAUUACAUAAUGGGAUGGGACGAGAUGCCCAUACUUUUUAAAUUUCUACAUUGAGUUAUGCAAUAUCAAUUUUGCAGGAUUUAAUCAUCAAAUUGAUUUGAAAUGCCUGUGUUUAUCAUGUUUGGUGCAUGAGAACCUAUAAAUUGCACAAUGACUCGUCUGCAGUCUCACACUUUGUUCAAUGGAUGUUAAGGCUACUAUUAAACUUGGAUUACGGUCUUUGCCUGUUUGGUCUAAUUGUAACAUCGGUAAUGCACACAGAGCUGUCUGUACAAUGUAGGGAUUUUGAUAUUUAUUCCAGACAUUCCAUUACCAUUGGCACACCCCUCAUCAUAUGCAAGGCAACCCCUUCAUCGUCUCAUGCUGACUCUUAAAGCCUGGAGUUGUUUCGGAAUCAUUUUCGACAGAUGGGAGGACAAAGGGUCUCCUUCUAUCUCGCCCCGUCAUUGCUGUUGAAAAACAUACCAAGAAACAUAUAUCUCGGACCAAAAUCAGUCUCUACACAGACACGAGACGAUGGAGAAAGCUAAAACGGGACCCGCGAGUAGAAUGCCAUUCCUUGUAUGGGUGAGAUUAGGGACAUGAGGCAAGUUGAGCUCGGAUUAGAGACGCUAGCAUCAUACACCGGAUGUAUCUUUGGCCGUCAAACUAGUUAUCGAAGGGGUGGAAAAAUUCACUAGCUCACAAGUCAAAAGACUCACGGAAAAAACCUGUCCCUUAAGAACCACGAACAGCCUUCAGUCCGUUAUUAGCAACACGUUAUUAAGGAAAGAAACCGCACACGCUGCACAAUCGAAUCAAAGCAAAUAUGGCAAGUUCUUCACGUCCCCAACAUCAUUUGGUUGGGAAAUCACAUGCCCCGGUAUCAGAUCAAAUUGUUUAUCAACAGAUUCAACCACCUUUCCUAAUGCCAAAGAGCUGCAAAAUCUGAAGAUUGAAAAUAUGAGCAACUUAGUCGACUUGAUGGGAUCCACAGAACAUGCAAGUUUAUCGAUACGCAUACUCGAUAUCACAAAGGAACUAAUGAUAAAACUUCCCCGAAAAUUCACCUCCAGAGAGCAGUAGCUCCACCGUAAUCAGAGAGCACACAGCAUUCGGCACUGCAAGGUCAAUUUUUUCCCUCGAAUGGGGCAACAUUAGAAACUCAGAGCACUCGUAAUUUACAACCUUCACCGAAAGAAGAUUGGAUUGUAUAGCAAAGUUCUACAAGUUAGCCAACUAGGUCCCUCUGCUGUUAAGUAUUGAUUAGCAGCUCACUUGGUUGGAUAGCAAGGCCAAAGGAUGGAUCAGAAAGAAAAACAAAAUUCUUGGAGGCGAGUCCAUAAGGAGAAGAGCUUACAACAUCGCAAAUGGGGGGAGCUCACUCGUCCAUAUCCUCUUCUCCAUCGGCUUUGGCCUCUUCAUCCUCCCUCCUGAGCUGACCACAUACAUUACACUCCAUCAUAUCAGAAGGAGCAUCAUCCGACGACGGAGGUAGAGGAGCCAAUGUCCCACCUCAGUUUUUCCUGUUGCACAUAUACCUGACGAAGAAAUAUGCAUCCGACCCCCUCAUUUGUUCAUCGGCAUCCUCAUCCAUCCCUUCACCGUCACCAUCAUCGUCUUCGCUGAUAUCAUCGGACCAAUUGGCCUCAACCUUGCACCGGUUGUGAAGAAGAAGAGUACAAAGAUGAAGAAGAUAACAGAGAUGAGGAAUAGAAAAGAAAGAACAGAGAGAAAUGCAAAGCUUCUGUAUUCAACAAUGAUUGGAGAGAGAUUACAUCUGAGAGCCUAACUCACGUUUUCCUUUCAACUCUGUAUUUAUACUACAAGUUGACGAAGAACAACCAACUGACAAAACAAACUAACAGAAACACUAACAGAAAGUAUUCAGUUACAACUUACAACUGAAUAUCUAUUCUUUAAUGAGCACGUGUUGUUGCUGUAGAUCCCAUCAUCUUCAUUCCAUUUGUCUCUGUUCAUCUAGAUAUGCUCCUAGACUAAUUGAGGAUUAGGAAGAAAAGGCUAAGAGGUUUCUGAAAUGGUGGAGAACUGAUAUUAGGAAACAACUUGUGCCUUUGAACAUAAGAGAUUAUCAUGAGAUUUAUGAAAGGGCACAGUUAGUGGAGCAGGAGCUGGUGAGAGACCGAUCAGAGUUUAAGAAACAGCUGAACUUUAAUGAUGUGAGAAGGGAUAAGAGACCCUAUCCUGGUCAAGGUCAGACUUGGAAUGUGAAAAAAAAAAAAAAAAGAGAGCAAUUUUAGAAAUUUCGGGAGAGCAAAAGAUGGCCUAAAUAUAGGGAAAGCACCCUAUCGGCCUGAUGUUUGUCAAAGGUGUGAUGGGCGACAUGGCCUGGGACCUUGCAAUGGACGACUGAGAUGUUUUGGUUGUGAACAAGUGGGCCACCUUAGGAGAAGUUGUCCACAAGAAAGGUCGCAAAUGAGUGUUGGCUCGGUGCGACAGAUACAACAACGUACUGCUGGACCAAACUUACCAAGGAAUCCUCAGAGGCCACCAACACAAGGAAUGGUAUAUGCGGUCACCCAAGAGGAAGCGGAAGCUUCCAAAAAUGUUAUCUCAGGUACGAUCCUUAUAAAUGGAAAAAAGGCAUAUGUAUUGUUUGAUACAGGUGCUAUGCAUUCAUUUGUGUCUGAAAGAUAUAGGCAUUUGAGUAAAAUAGAAACUACAUCUCUUGAGACACCUCUUUGUGUUUCUACGCCUUUAAAGAAUAUGGUAUUGUCUACGCUGGUGUGUGGAAAUUGUAAGAUAACAAUGGGAGGAAAGGAUAUGGAAAUAGGCUUGGUCGUAAUGGCUAUGUAUGAUUUCGAUGUUAUCAUAGGAAUGGAUUGGCUUCGUAAGUAUCGGGCCAAAAUGGAUUGUUAUAGAAAAGUGAUCCAAUUUAUCUUACCUGCUCAGUCUAGUUGUGAAUUUUUGGGAGGUCAGACCCACCUAUCUAUAGCACUUAUUCAGAAAUAGAAGCCCGUGCGUUACUUGAUAAAGGAUGUCACGGGUACCUGGCCCUGAUCAACGACUAUACUAGGGAAGAGCCUAAGCUUGAUGAAAUUCAAGUGGUUAAUGAAUUUCAAGAUGUAUUUCCUGAGGAAUUGCCUGGAUUACUGCCAGAACGAGAAAUUGAGUUCAAAAUUGAAUUAAUGCCUGGAACAGGACCAAUAUUGAAAGCCCUGUAUAGGAUGGCCUUAGUUGAGUUGAAGGAAUUGAAGGUGCAACUACAAGAGUUGCUUGACAAAUGAUUCAUUAGGCCAAGUGCUUCACCUUGGGGUGCACCGGUUUUGUUUGUGAAAAAGAAAGAUGGGUCAAUGCGCUUGUGCAUUGACUAUAGGCAAUUGAAUCAAGUGACCAUUAAAAAUAAAUAUCCUUUGCCUAGAAUUGAUGACCUAUUUGACCAACUCCAGGGAAGUUCGGUCUUCUCUAAGAUUGACUUAAGGUCGGGAUACCAUCAGCUAAGAAUUAAGAAAGAGGACAUUCCUAAGACUGCGUUUAGGACUCGUUAUGGACACUACGAGUUCCUUGUCAUGCCAUUUGGAUUGACAAAUGCACCGGCUGCAUUUAUGGAUCUAAUGAAUAGGGUAUUUAAGCCUUAUUUAGAUCAGUUUGUAAUUGUCUUUAUUGAUGAUAUCUUGAGAUAUUCAAGAUGGCCUAAAGAGCAUGAACAACACUUGAGGAUAGUUUUGCAAACUCUGAGAGAUCAUAAGCUAUACGCCAAAUUUAGCAAGUGUGAAUUCUGGCUGGACUAGAUAAUAUUUUUGGGGCACGUAGUAUCAAGAGGAGGAAUUGCAGCGGACCCAGCGAAAGUUGAGAUGGUAAUAAAUUGGCCAAGACCGACGACACCUACUGAAAUACGGAGUUUCUUAGGACUGACUGGUUAUUAUAGAAGGUUUAUUGAAGGAUUCUCACGAUUGGCAGGUCCUUUAACAAAAGUGACUCGAAAGAACAUGAAGUUUGAAUGGAAUGGGGAAUGCGAAAGGAGUUUCCAGGAGCUUAAAAGAAAAUUGACCUCGGCUCCAAUUUUGACUAUACCGACAGGAUCGGAUGGUUUUACGGUGUAUAGUGAUGCAUCUCACAAAGGACUGGGAUGUGUUUUGAUGCAGCAUGGCAAGGUCAUAGCCUAUGCAUCUAGACAAUUGAAACCCCAUGAACUAAACUACCCCACGCAUGAUUUAGAAUUAGCAGCUAUAGUGUUCGCUUUGAAGAUAUGGAGGCAUUAUUUAUAUGGGGAAAAGUUUGAGAUUUAUACAGAUCAUAAGAGCUUGAAGUAUCUGUUCUCACAAAAGGAGUUGAACAUGAGACAAAGGAGGUGGAUGGAGUUGUUAAAGGAUUAUGAUUGUGAGAUACGAUACCACCCAGGGAAGGCGAAUAAGGUAGCGGAUGCUCUUAGUCGUAAGUCAGCUGUGGAGAUGGCCAGUUUAAGAAUGGCGGAAUGGAGCUUGUUAAAGUCCGUAGCGGACUCAGAGUUUAAAUUAAAAGUGGAUUGUCUUACCAAUAUGCUUAGUGCAUUAAGGAUGCAUUAAGGAUUGAACCUGAAAUUAUUCAGAAAGUUAAGAUCUUACAAGAGUCUGACCCGGAAAUUUUGAAAGUGAAAGAUGCAGUGUCUUUAGGAAAAAGACCGGAAUUUCAAGUCUCUGAAGAUGGUGUGGUAAGAUGCCAAGGACGACCUUGUGUUCCCGACAAUGAAGAAGUAAAGAAGGAAAUUUUGUCGGAGGCACAUAGGAGUAAUUACAAUGUUCAUCCGGGUAGUACAUAGAUGUACAGGAAUUUGCGUCAGCAAUUUUGGUGGAAUGGUAUGAAAGCAAAUACGACUAAGCACGUUUCUCAAUGUUUGACGUGCCAACAAGUAAAAGUGGAACAUUGCAAACCUGCAGAACUCUUGAGACCGUUAGACAUACCAUAAUGGAAAUGGGAGCAUAUAACAAUAGACUUUGUACAAGGAUUGCCAAGGACAUCAAGUGGUCGUGACUCUAUCUGGAUAAUAGUGGACCGUUUGACUAAGUCUGCUCAUUUCCUAGUAGUUCGCAUAGACUACCCAAUGGACAAAUAUGCGGAUAUAUAUGUAAGUCAAGUAGACGCUUACAUGGUGUUCCAGUAACUAUUACCUUAGACCAAGAUUCGAGAUUUACUUCGAACUUUUGGCGGAGUCUUCAAAUUGCCUUAGGAACUAAACUCCAGUUUAGUACUGCUUUUCACCCUCAAACAGAUGGACAAACAGAAAGAGUAAUCCAGACAUUAGAGGAUAUGUUGAGGGCUUGUGUGAUUGAUUUUAAAGGAAAUUGGGAUGAAAGAUUGCAUUUGGUGGAGUUUGCUUAUAAUAAUAGUUUUCAGAAGAGUAUAGACAUAGCUCCCUAUGAAGCAUUAUAUGGAAGGAGAUGUAGGACUCCUGUCUGUUGGAAUAAAGUAGGUGAAAAGAAAUUGACAGGACCUGAACUGGUACAAGUUACCACUGAAGCUAUCGAGAUUAUCAGGAAAAGACUUAAAACAACUCAGAGUAGACAGAAAGACUACGCAGAUAGGCAUAGAAGGCCUUUGGAGUUUAAUGUGGGAGAUCAUGUAUUCCUUAAAGUAUCUUAAAUGAAAGGAAUAUCUCAAUUUGGAAUGAAGGGUAAGUUAAGCCCUAAAUUUGUUGGACCUUUUGAGAUAUUUGAAAGAAUAGGAGAUGUAACUUAUCGUUUGGCACUGCCUCCUAAAAUGGGAAAUUUACAUGAUGUGUUUCAUGUGUCGAUGUUGAGAAAGUACCAGCCGGAUCCUGGUCACAUACUCGAUCAUGAAGCCAUUAAAGUGGAUGAGAAAGUGAGGUACAUCGAAGAACCUGUGCGAGUACUGGAUCAAAAGGAACAAAUUCUUAGGACUAAGAAGAUUCCUUUGGUCAAAAUAUUAUGGCGACAUCAUGAUAUGGAAGAAGUCACAUGAGAAAGUGAAGAUCAGAUGAAGGAAAAGUACCCCUACUUGUUUCAAGAGACAUGAGUGAUGUCUAAUUUUGAGGAUGAAAUUCUCUAAGGAGGGGAGAAUUGUGGCAUCCUAGAAUUUCAUGAAAAUCCCUAAAUAUGCCAUGAGCCAUGGAUAGGCGAUGGAAAUACCGUUAUUGUAUUUUUGUAGCUUUUUAAUCCAUGAUUCGCGAUACGAUGUAUGGCCAAAUUUUAAUGGAUGGAUUUUGGGAAAGAGAGUUCUAUCUUAGGCCAUAUGUAUGAUAAAUUGGAACUUAUGGAUUUAUAAUUGCAAGUGUAUAGUUAAUUAAAUUUGCAAUUUAGUACUUUGAUUUAAUAGGGAUUUAAUUAGUUUUUUUUAAGGGUUAAUCUUAAGUUAAUUAAGCUUGGGUCUUAGGCCCAAGAGGGAUGGGCCUAAGAUGGGCUGAAAUGGCCGGCCCAUAGAGCUCAUGAAGGGCUGUCGACCGUGCAAAGGAGGGGGGAAUCCGGUUGCAUGCCUCCCCCAUUUGUCCCAAAGAAAUCGCCAAGUGUCCUACAUGCAUAUAGUAAUGAUAGCUAAUGAUGAUGGGAAGAAAUUAGGGAAAAGAUGAUACUGGUUUAAGCGAGAAUGAGAGGGAGAGAGAGAAGGAUUCGUUCGAGAGAGAAAGAGAGGAGAGGAAGAGAAGAAAGAAAGGAAGAAAGGGAGAAAGGAAGAGAGGAAGGAGGAGAGCCGUUCGUCGACCGUCCGUCGUUCAUCGUUGUGUCCCGUCGCCGUGGUGCUUGCUGUUUGCUCGGUUUAGAGGUAAGUUGGGAUCCUUCUACUCUUACAUGUUGUGCCUAGAGUGUGUGAGUGAGUGGUGAUAAAUUUCGGAUGUUUAGGAUGAGAAAAACGGAAGUUUUAAGAGUGGUAUUCAAAACUAGUAAACUGUUCUUGAGAAAAGCAGCUCGACCGUGAAUGUUCUAGUGGCUUACAUGUGAUGUUCGAGUUGGAUUUUGGCCUUGAAUUCUAAAUGAAAGUUGUUAAGGACUUCUUUUAGUAUAACCUACUCAAAUUUGGGACAAAAAAAUCAAGUAUAAGUGGGUGAAAUAUUUAUUUUUUGGAGAGACUGGAUCUGGAGAUUUCGGUAACUACCUUUGAUGAAUGCAUGGACUGUAAGGCUAUCUUUUUGUUGAAAUAUCACUUUUAUUUCUUAACAAAAGAUGUAAAGGACAUCCUGAGGUUUAACAUAUCAAAAAUUUAGAGAAAAAUAACAAGAAUAGAUAGACGAAAUCAUGUUUUUUCAGAAGUAGUCAGAUUUGGAAAUUUCGGUAUUGAAACAGAAGCUUUAACCGCCUAUAUUUAAUCACCUAGAACGAAUUUGACUUUUAUUUCUUCAUGAAAAACCUACCUUAGGAUAUUGACUACAACAUAGUCGAAUUUCAUAAAUUUUGAAGGUCAUUUGGGUAUUUAAUCGGAAAUGUUUCUAAAACCGUGUAAUCUGAUAUAUUCUGACUUGGUCAGUUGCAAUGCAUGGACAAUAUCGUUUUUCAUGAGGUUCUUUCAGCAAUGUGUUCUUCAUGAAACAUCUCUCUGUAUGUCUUCCCUACAACAUAUUCAAAUUUCGUAAUUUUUGAAGUUCAUUUGACUAAUUAACCAAAAACGUUUCAAAAACUGUGCAAGCUGAAUUGUUAGAAUAGUAGUGCUGUGAUGCAAUGGUCUAUACUGAAUUGUAUGAGGGUCUUUUGGUGUAGUAUCCUUCAUGAAAUAUCUGCCUUUAUGUCUUGAUUAUCACAUUUUUGAAUUUCAUAAUUUUUUAAAGUCAUUUGGGCAUUUAAAUAAAAUGUUUUCUAAUACUGUGCAAGCUGGAUUGUGCGAAUUUCAAAGGCUGGAUGCAUGACUAUUCUGUUUUGGAUGAGCCCCAUGAAUUAUAUUGUUUCAAGUGAUUAAAUCUUACUGCACAUGUGAUGAUUCUUGGCAUUACAUAUAGAAUCAAAGUUGAAAUUGACCUUGUUGCCAUCACAUCAUGUGCUAUGUUGAUUGUGAGACAUGAAUUUGUGAAUAUGAAUUAUGAUGAAAGAGAAGACUGUUGGAGGUGAGUCGACAAUACCCUGGGAGUGUCAGGAUGCCCGGAAUGUGGGGGUGCCAGAUGUCCUCGGGAGUUUCGAGAUACCCGGAAUGGUUGGGUGUCGGAAGCCUCAGAGGUUUGUGCCUGGGGGAUGCCUCGUGAUGCCAGUUGGGAUAUGAGAUGCCCGAAAUGUGGGGGUGUCGAAUGCCUGGUGGUGUGUGCCGGAGGUUUCUCGCGAUGCCAGGUUGGGGUGCGAGUGAUAAAAUGUGGGAUGUAAUUACUGGUCCCGGGAAAGAAAGAUGUAGUGAUCAAAUUGAAAGAUAAAAUGUUGAAAUUGAAUCAUGCAUGGUAUGGUGACAUGUAUGCAUGGUUGUAUGAUAUGAUGUGUAUGAGUGCAUGAUGGUAUGUGCACAUGAGGCAUAGAUAUGCAUGAAUGCUUGAUGAUGAGUGCAUGGUUAUAUAUGCACCUAUGGCAUGAUGGUAUAUGUAUGAAUACUUGGUGAGGAGUGCAUGAUGGGGUAUGCACAUAUGGUAUAAUGACAUAUGCAUGGCUGCAAGGUAAGUUAUGCUUGAAUGCAUGGAUGAUAUAUUCUGCUAUGAUGUUAUGAUUGUAUUGUGUGAUGCAUUGAGUAGUUUAAUGGAUCUUUUACCUGUUGAGUGGCUGUACUCACCCCUUUGGGGACCAACAUUUAAGAUUAGGAAGAUGCCUCUCCCUCCGGUCACGCGGGGUACCUUUUACGGCCUUCCAUCUAACGUGGAGGUCGAUUGUAUGGAGCUCGAUAGUGUUACCAUCCCUGGUCUGACAUUCAUACGGGUUUGGGUGUUGGUGAUGUAUGAUGUGGGCCUGGUUGGGGGUCCGGUCAUCCAGGAGUUCUUGUCGGUCCACGUCCGCCAAGAAGGAGUGAUGCGGGGGAUGUUGCCGCCGCCACCGCGAUGCACCAGGAUGGGUGUGAUGGCCCACGUGAGGAGUGAGAGCUAACACUUUUUGAGGAUAGCCGACACUUGUAGAUGGAGGAUGACACGUGAACGAUAUAGGGGGUCGAGAUCUCUUUUGAGCUGUGGCCAAGUUUAGUUAAAAGUCUUGGCUUCUCUUUUUGGUUGUACCGACCCGAGAAAUCCAUCAUGAAAAUAUAAAUAAAAGUGGCUCGGCUUUAUGUUUUCCUUUGAGGUGUAGCUGGUGUGCAUUGUACCAUCAUCAAGAGAGAGUAGAGGGAUGGCGAGACUCGUCUUUAAUUCCGCUAUGAGCUGCGCUAAACAAAAAUAAAAAAAAUGCCUAAGGACCUCGGUCCUUCUUUAAACCCCUUUAUAUCAAAGACAAGUAACGGGUAUCCUAUAGAGAUAAAGCGAUUGGUGAACUGUGGUGACCUCAGGUGUUUAGGGGUGCCACAGAAACAUACCAAGAAAUAUAUAACUGGGGACCAAACUCAGUCUCUACACAAGCUCGAGACGAUAAAAAAACGAAAACAAGACGCGAAUGGGGUGCCAUUCAAUGUUUCCUUAUAUGGGUGAGAUUAGGGACAUGAGGCAAGAUCGCUGAGCUCGGAUUGGAGAAACUAGCAUCAUACACCCGACGUCUCCUUGGCCGUCGAACUAGUGAGGGAAGAAGCAAUGGAAACUCGCCAGCUCACAAGUCCAAACACAACCAGGCUAGUAUGGCCCCAAGGAUUCCAAAGAGACAGAAAAAGACCUGUCCCUUAAGAUCCACAAACAACCUUCCAAUUGAAUCAAAGCAUAUGUGGCGAGUUUUUCCACCUCCCAACAUCAUAGGUGGGGAAAUCAUAUUCUCAGAUCAAAUCUCUUAUCAAUAGAUUCAACCACCAUUUCUAAUGCCAAAGAGCUGCAAAAUCUGAGGAUUGACAAAUACGAGCAACUUAGUUAACUUAAAGGAUCCGCAAAACAUUCCAGUUAAUCAAUACACGUACUCAAUGAUUCCACGAAGGAACUCAUGGUAAAUCUUCCCGGAACUUCACCUUAUUAGAUUUCAAAUGAUAUCUUGAAGUAAAUAAAGAAAGAAAAAUCACCUUCAGAGAAU
RNAcentral lists this long non-coding RNA (54424 nucleotides) under Eucalyptus grandis. RNAcentral's name for it is "long non-coding RNA (EGRA_LNC005986)". The record is from RNAcentral. Lineage: Eukaryota; Viridiplantae; Streptophyta; Magnoliopsida; Myrtales; Myrtaceae.